Molecule: long non-coding RNA, 47920 nt
Filed under: Prunus persica (peach)
Lineage: Eukaryota; Viridiplantae; Streptophyta; Magnoliopsida; Rosales; Rosaceae
Source: RNAcentral
AACAGUGGAGGUACUCAUUUGCACUCAAAAUUGGUUAUGUUCUUCACCAAAAACUGAUGUUCUUGAGAUUGUAGAUGAAAUGUUAGAAAUUAAAUCAGGCAAAUAUUAUUUGAAGAUAAGUUUCAUAGUUGAAAUUAAUUAGUACUAUUUUUGUUUGUAGAAAUUUUGGGUACUACAACAAAACUUACUUUGAAUGAAACUUGAUGUGGAAUAUGGUUGCGUGCUCUGUAUGUACGUUUGUUUCAUUCAUUCUAUCUAAUAUUGUUAUCUUGACAUUCAUUAUAUCUCAACUCUCUUAAGUUAAGAGUAUUAAGUAUAUAUACAUAUUUGUUGAUUGCAGGAUAUAAUCUAAGGAUACGAAAGAAAUUAAAGGAUUGUUGGACCUGGAACCUUGAAGAGUUGUCUAAGUUUUUAUGUUGACUUUAGUUUAGUGUUUCUUUUUUGAAGGAAUGAAUGUAACUUGAACUCUAAAUGUCGAACUUUGUGUUGUACUGCUGUUUUCUAAAAUUUAUUUGUGCCUAUUUAGUACACACUUAAUGGUAUUUUCUAUCUGAUUGAAUUUUAUAUAAUUAUCGUUGUGAUUAUCAUAUUUUCAUAGAAACCGUUCAUCCAAUCCAAUCGAAUCCAAUGUGCAUUGGAUUCGAUUGGAUUGCAUCCUGACAUCCGAACACAUUGGAUGGGAUUGUAAAAUCCCAAAUCCAAUAAAAAAUUGGAUUGGAUUAGAUUGAUCAAAAUUCAUUGGUUUCAAACCGAUGUAUACUCCUAAUUUCUGACCCUUUUAGCUCAUUCCUUUACCAAUCCAUACAACACAAUCCAACAAGAUGCAUUUUUCGCUUACUUACCAAAAGAGAGAACGUGAAUUUUUCUCUAGAUUAAAAUUCUUAUUGUUACAAUCAGAGGACAUCAAACUCUUAUUUGAAUCAUAACUCUUUCAGAAAUUCAUAAAACACAAUCCACCAAAAUUUAUUUUUUCUCUUGCUCAUCAAAAGAGACAACAUACAUUUUAUAUUUCUUACCUUCUUUUUUUCGUUUUCAGUUCUGCCUCUCACAGGAUAACCUAAUUUGUGAUGAUAACAAAAUGAUAUUAAUAUUUAAAGAGCAUAGGCGCGCGGUUGUACUUUUAAAAUAUAUUAAUAUUUAACGAUUAUGGUCGUGUGGCUGUACUUUGCAAAUAUGUUAAUAUUUAACAAGUAUAGCAGCGCGACUAUACUAUUAAAAUAUUAGUAAAUUUAGGUUUUAGCCACACAAAAACUUUCACUUUUUGAAAAAGCCAAAACUUUUUCAAAAUAGACAGAAAAACCCCUCAACUUUUGAACCAAAGACAUAAAGGAUUCUUUAGAAAAUUCAAAAUAAAUAAAGGUAUUUUUGUCCAUUUUGGCUUAUUUUAAAAAUAUUUAUCUCUCCUUUGGCCUUUUCCAAAAUGUCCCUAAAAUAUUCGUAUAUAUUUAAAGCGGAUAUACUCAUUAAAUAAAUUUUAAUAUUUUAAAAGUACAGCCCAAAAUGGUUUUCAUUUUUGCAAUUAAGUAAUAUCUUAGCCUUUUUUUAAUUACUUUAAUUAGUAAUUAUAUUUAUUUCUUUAGUGGAUAAUUAGUAUUUAAAUAUUUUACUGAUUUCAUAAAUUACUUAAUAAAUAGUAAUUAAUUAUUUUAGAUAAUUUUGUGGACUUUUUAUUUUUAUAUUAUACAAAAUUAGUUUUUCUCAGUUUAAUACAUUCAAUUAAGUAAUAAUUUAGCAUUAUUUAAUAAUUAUUAUUAUUAUUUAUGUUUUAAUUAUUCUUUAUAUAAUGAAUAAUUAGAAUUUAUGUUUUAAUCAUUCUUCAGUUCAUCCAUUCCAAGUCAGACAGGUGCAACUAAUGUGUUUAGGUGCAACAUAAUCCAUCAAGAUGCAUUUUUUACUUGCUUAGCCAAAAAAAGAGAUGCAUUUUUCUCUAUAUUAAAUUUCUUAUUGUUACAAUGGAAGGGAAUCAAACUUUGGAUAUAACACAUGUCAUCACUUACCUUCACCACUUGGUUUGACCCCAAGGUUUAGAUUUCUUACCCUUUUAGCUAUUCCUUUAGCAACACAAUCCAACAAGAUGCAUUUUUCGCUGACUUACCAAAAGAGGAAACAUGAAUUUUUCUCUAUAUUAAAUUUCUUGUUGUUACAAUGGGAGGAAAUCAAACUUUUGAUCUAACACAUGUCGCCACUUACCUUCACCACUUGGUUUGAUCCCGAAGUUUAGAUUUUUGACCUUUUAGCUAAUUCCUUUAGCAAUCCAUACAACAAAAUCCAACAGGAUGCAUUUUUCGCUUACUUACCAAAAGAUUAAAUUUUUUAUUGUUACAAUGGGAGGAAAUCAAACUUUUGAUCUAACACAUUUCGCCACAUACCUUCACCACUUGGUUUGACCCCGAGGUUUAGAUUUUUGACAUUUUAAGCUAAUUCCUUUAGCAAUCCAUACAACACAAUCCAACAAGAUGCAUUUUUUGCGUACUUACCAAAAGAGAAAACAUGAAUUUUUCUCCAUAUUAAAUUUCUUAUUGUUACAAUGGGAGGAAAUCAAACUCUUAUCUUAAUCAUAACUCUUUUAGAAAUUCAUAAAACACAAUCCACCAAAAUUUAUUUUUUUGCUUACUCAACAAAAGAAACAAGAUACAUUUUUCUAUGUAUCUCAGAUUUCUUAAUAAAAUAUUAAAAAUAUAUUUUUAUUUUGUUUAAGGCCACGUGGUUUUAUACCAUUGGAUAUGUGGGCUCCACAUACGUGUCACGUCAGUAAUUUAACCGAAAAUUUGACGGAAGCUAACGGCAAGGACCAUUUUGAUAUGUAGAGGGGAACCUUAAAAAUCAUUAGUGUCACAAAAAAAACGUUAGGGACAAAAGGUGAUAAUUUUACAAACGUCAGGGACCAUUUGUGAUAAAAAGCCUUCUUUUUUUAAAAUGAGCCAACCCAAAAUCAAAAUAGCUUUUCUCUGUCUCAUAAACCACACACCUCUACGAAAAAAAACAUAUCAGCGCUACAAAUAACAAGAUCCACGCCAAGUAAAUACAACGAAACAUCAGGCAUUUCAGGCAUAGGACGCUACUGCCCUACAAAUCAGCAACAAACAUCAACAUGUUAGAUAACAAGAACUGGGAGUGACUGCACAUCGGCAUCAGGCACUUCCGGCAAAUGCGUUACAGCACUACAAAUCUGCAGCAACAGAAAACAAGAAAAGUGCUACGCUAAUCAAUUGUUAAGCAUUAUAGUUGACAUCAGUUGUCAUGAAAACUUUUCCCAGUACUUCUUCAGGAGUGCAAAUGAAAAUUCCUCUCCCUAAAUGAAAGCUAAAUUGGAAACGAAACUAUUAUACAAAUGAAAACCAUUGGAAAAGGGAUUAAAGCCUGAACUAUAGCACAAUCUCUUACAGCAGCAAACAAUAAAUUGAAUACACAAACUUCACUACAGUAGCAGUAAUCAGUCCACCCUCAAAAGUCAUACCAACUUGAUAUUUUCCAUGAGAGCUAAGUUGACUUUAGUCACAAGUUGUGUUCUAGCAACAGAAGCGAGAAAGACAAUCAGCUAAAGGAAAAAAAAAAACCCACACAAGUCGACAUAAUAAAGAUCCCACAGCAAUUUAGUCACCAAUCAUGCUUUUAAUGAACAUAAAAAUCUGGCAAACAAAGAAUUGAAAUGUUCUGCUCUCAGCACUGUAAUACAUUACCUGUCCUUUCUCUUAGUAAGACUCUGCAUCGCUCUUGUCGAGUAAGAGGAGGCUCUCUUUAUAAAAAUCAACAGUACAAUAUUUAUAUCCAGAAAUCCCAAGAUUUUUAAACUGUUUGCUCACAAGGUCUAGUGAAACUAGUUCCUACCUGCCUUCUUUUGUUAGCAGUAACAGUACUUCCCCGCUGUUGCUAAAACAUAAGGCCCUGGGUAAAAGUCUUUGUGGACCUUGUGGACCGAGAGUAAUCAAUUUGGUCCAUGAUUCCUUUCUGCCAUACUCUUUCACCACCCAUAUAUCAAGAACAGAAUUUUCGCGCCUAUUAUCCAUCAUGAAAUCUUUACAACUGUUAUCCCUCAUAAACAGAGCAACAGAUUUUCUAUUUUCGAAAACGGACAAUUGCAAUCCCCACUUGGGAUUCCAAUGGAUAAUCUUCGGCAUAGGUAUCUUACCGAACACCUCCUUGCCCAAGUCAAACGUCAAAAUAAAAUAGCAACCAUCGCCGUCUGAGACUACAGGCCAAUGAAGAACCCCAUUAACAAAAGCAUUGGAUGCAGCUCCAUUUGUUCCACAUGCAGGAGAAACACAACCAAGACUCCUCCAUGUGCCAGUGGCUAGGGAAUAAACCUCAGCUACAGUUGGCCUCUCAUCUUCAUGUUGUAAAGCUACAAAUCGCACAACCUUAUAGUCAUUGGUCAUAGCAUCAAAACCGAACCCAAUAGAAGCAUCAUACCCACCAUGCGUCCUAAAGGUAACUCCAGGCCUGGGAAGGGUCACUAACUUUCUAAUGGCUGGGUUCCAUAUAAAGAAGUUGUAACCAUAAUGGAGGAUAUCAUCCGCAAGGCAGAUUAGCCCGCUACAACUGCCGACCACACGAAGAUGAGAAUUGCACAGUUCUUGCUCUGGAGCAAUUGGAAAUUCGAUCUUGCAGUACACAUCAAAAGCCUGGUUAUCAUAAUGCACACAGUGAACCUCAUCUUUUAUCUCGGAAACGAUCGUUUUGUGGCCGAAGGUGCUGCUACUGUCACAAGAAAUUAUGUGGAGUAGGAGGAGGUCAAUGUCAUCCUGGUUAGCAAAAUCGACUGUUAGGGUUAAGUGGGCGCGGAUAAAGCUUUUGUUCAUGAUCAUGGACCUCCAUGCCUUGCACACUGAGGUGCAAUUGAUCAGAGAUUUAACGGGUAGCCUAAACCCCAAACGUCAUAAUUUUCAAAUCAAACCCAAUCUCUACUCUAUCAAUCAAAACUCCAAACCCAUCAAGGAAAAAAAACACCAACACUAAAGCCAAACCAUCAUUUUAUUUUUAAAAAUUUUAAAAAAAAAAUACCCGACCCGCCCAGGCGCCGCCUAGGCGGCCGCCUAGCGCCUAGGCGCCGAUUUUUCGAAAUUGACAGAAAAAGGAAAGAGAAACUUUAGGAACUUACAAUUUUUGGUCCUGAUGAGCAGAGCCGAAGAAAUGGAGCUGACGUUAGAGAAGAAGAGUGAGGAAGAAAGGAGUAGAACCCUUUCUAGCCUCUAGGACAUUCAUUUCCGUACAUGAUAGUGUGGAAGAAGAAACGCGUCGGCUGAAACCCUCAUGCAUCUUUCUUCUCUAUUUAUAUCUCCGUCCCAGAUUAAAAGCUUGAAUAAGGUUUAUCUAUGGUUGAUCUGGUGGUUUAUGAAUUGGAAAAACUUUCCCGGGAACAAUUUAUGCGGAAAUUUCUUUUUAUCGCCAUAAUGAAGUCUUAUUUCUAUUUUGACCCCUCAUUUUUUUGUAGCUUGUAUAUUUUGCCGAACUUUUUCAUUUGUACUUUUCACAAAUUUUGCCGAAUAAAACAAAUAGGAAUUUCAUUCGUACUUUUUCAUGCAUUGCCCUCUUGCAGCUUCUGUUUGGCGCUGUGUUGAGAAUUAUUGGCCAAGGAGGUUCUUUUCAGGAUUGCUUAAUGAAUUGUUUAACUAACUACAAUGCUCAUAUCACAGUUUCUCUAGCUUUGAGUAAAAUCUUAUUUGUUUGUUGGCAGAUUAGGGAGUCCAUAAAUCAUUGUAUCUUUCGACGUAUAUGCACUCAUCCAACAAAAAGUUUGACAGUUGUUGCUCGCACUUGUGUUGAGUUCUAGCAUAGUACUUCUUCUGUAUCAACUACUAUUCGAGGAGAUCUCGUGGCCAAGCUACUCCAAUCAGAUGGCUUCCGCCCAAGCCCCUAUUUCUCAAGAUGAACUUUGACGGCUCUGUAAAAGCUGCUUCUUCGUCUGAUUCGGUUUUUGUUAUUAGAGAUGCAGGAGAAACACAACCAAGAUUGCUGCCCGUGGCUAGGGAAUAAACCUCAGCUAGAGUUGGCUGCUCAUCUUCCUCCAAUAAAGUCACAAGUCGCACAACCUUAUAGUCAUUGGUCAUAGCAUCAAAACCAAACCCAAGAGAAGCAUUGCUCCUACCAUGCGACCGAAAGGUAAUACCAGACCUGGAAAGGGUCACCAACUUUCUAAUGGUUGGGUUCCAUAUAAAGAAGUUGUAAGCAUAAGAAGGGAUAUCAUCCGCAAGACAAAUUAGCCCAUCACAAGUGCCAACCACACGAAGAUGUGAAUUCCCAAAGUUUUUCUUUGCGGCAAUUGGAAAUUCGAUCUUGGCACAUCAAACGCCUGGUUAUCAUGAUGCACAGAGUGAACUUUGUCUUUUACCUUCUGAAUGACCUUGUUUUGGUCGUAGGUGAGGCUACAGCUACCAGAAAUUAUGUGGAGUAGGAGGAGGUGAAUGUCAUUCCGUUUUCAGAUAUAUAUAGGCCUUUUACACUAUAACUUACCGGUAAGAUAUGGUGUUUUUAGAAAAAUAAGUAAUUUACUCUAUAAAUUACGAGUAAGAUGUUGCGUUCUCAGAUAUAUAGGCAUUUUACACUAUAACUUACCGGUAAGAUAUGGUGUUUUUAGAAAAACAGGUUAUUUACUCAAUAAAAUACGAGUACGAUGUUGUGUUUUCUGAUAUAUAUAUAUAUAUAUAUAUAUAGGCCUUUUACACUAUAACUUACCGGUGAGAAAUUGUGUUUUUAGAAAAAUAAGUUAUUUACUCCAUCAAUUACAGGUAAGAUGUUACGUUCUCAGAUAUAUAGGCCUUUUACACUAUAACUUACCGGUAAGAUAUGGUGUUUUUAGAAAAACAUGCUAUUUACUCAAUAAAAUACGGAUAAGAUGUUGUGUUCUCAGAUAUAUAGGCAUUUUACACUAUAACUUACCGGUAAGAUAAGGUGUUUUUAGAAAAAUAGGUUAUUUAUUCCGUAAAAUACGGUUAAGAUGUUGCGUUCUCAGAUAUAUAGGCCUUUUACACUAUAACUUACCGGUAAGAUAUGGUGUUUUUAGAAAAACAGGCUAGUUACUCAAUAAAAUACGGAUGAGAUGUUGUGUUCUCAGAUAUAUAAGCAUUUUACACUAAAACUUACCAGUAAGAUAUGGUGUUUUUUGAAAAAUAAGUUAUUUACUCAAUAAAUUAAGGGUAAGAUGUUGCGUUAUGAGCUAUAUAAGCAUUUCACAGUAUAACUUACCAGAAAUAUACGGUGUUUUUAGAAAAAUAAGUUAUUUACUCCAUCAAUUACGGGUAAAAUAUUGCGUUUUCAAAUAUAUAUAGGCCUUUUACACCAUAACUUACAGGUAAGAUAUGGUGUUUUUAGAAAAACAUGCUAUUUACUCAAUAAAAUACGGAUAAGAUGUUGUGUUCUCAGAUAUAUAGGUAUUUUAUACUAUAAGUUACCGGUAAGGUGUGGUGUUUUUAGAAAAAUAAGUUAUUUACUCCAUAAAUUACUGGUAAGAUGUUGCGUUCCCAGAUAUAUAGGCAUUUUACACUAUAACUUAUCGGUAAGAUAUGAUGAUUUUAGAAAAACAGGCUAUUUACUAAAUAAGUUACGAUUAAGAUGUUGCAUUCUCCGAUAUAUAGCCUUUCACACUAUAUCUUACCGGUAAGUUAUAGUGUAAAAGGCCUAUAUAUCUAAAAACAGAACAUCUUACCCGUAACUUAUAUAGUAAAUAAAUUAUUUUUCUAAAAACAGUUGGGCUGAGGUGGGCGUGAAUAAAGCUUCGGUUUAUGAUCAUGGACCUCCAUGUAUUGCAGACUGAAGUACAUUUUAUCAGAGAUUUAACGGGUAGCCUAAUUAAGAUCUCUUGUAUGAUUUCCUAAGGAAAAGAGCAUGCGAGCGCUUUAAUUUUCAAUUUGAUCCCUUGUCUGACAUUUUUUACGUUAUCAAUGUCUUGCACAUUCAAAUAGUUGUACCAACUGAGAAAAGCAAUGGAGACAAAACUCAGCUAUAAUUGAGAAAACAAAAUAUCAAGGGAGGUUCUUACUGUAGAGUAACAUUCAUAUACAAUUUUUAGUCGGAAAAUUAAAAGUAUUAAAAUCCAAUCCAAAUCCAUCAGAAAGGAAAAAAAAAUGUUACAAAUUGCCUUUCAAUGUACCAAAGAGCUAGCUUAUUCUUCUUCUAGUAUAUCAUCACGCUGGUAAAACUGUUAAGAGAAAUGAAACCAGAUUAUAUGCUUGGACGUUGUUCAUGAAGGAAGUUGAGGUUCCACCCCAAAACCAAUUGGCUAUGGGGGGAGUAGCCCAACUCCUUAUAAACCCAGGCUUGGUCCCUUAACUUUUCAAUGUGGGACAAACACUCUCAACAUGUCUCCGCACGUGUGGCAAACUUUCAAACCUAACACGUGGACAACACAUAUUGGGUGACGUGGGAGCACGUGUGGCCAUUAGACCCAACACGUGAAGUCUUGCUCUGACCCAAAUUCCACUUUGGAAUCUGCACCGAACCCUGUGCAUGUCCAACAUCAGACAAGUGCCAAGCACACUUGACCAAAUUGCCCUUCCAACUAAAACUCAAAGAAAAAUCUUUUCAGGUUUAACUUUUGUCGAAAAUUCGGCAAUCUCCCCUGUAAUUUGCUUGUUUCCCAAAAUUUUCUUUUAGUUUCCUUUGUAAAUUGCCCUUCUAAGUAAAACUCAAAGAAAAUUCUUUUUAAGGUUUAAAAUAUAUUAAUAUUUAAAGAUUAUGGCUGUGCGGCUGUACUUUGAAAAUAUGUUAAUAUUUAACAGGUAUAGCAGCAUGGCUAUACUGUUAAAAUAUUCGUAUAUAUUCAAAGCAUAUAUACUUGUUAAAUAGCCCAAAAUGGUUUUCUAUUUUGUAAUUAAUUAAUAUCUUUAGCCUUUUUUAAAUUACUUUAAUAAGUAAUUAUGUUAAUUUCUUUAGUGAAUAAUUAGUAUUUAAAUAUUGUACUGAUUUCAUAAAUUACUUAGUAAAUAGUAAUUGAUUAUUUUAGAUUAUUUUGUGGACUUUGUUUUUGUUUUUGUUUUGUUAAUUAUACAAAAUUAGUUUUUUUAUAAUAUUUUCAAUUAAGUAAUAUCUUAGCAUUAUUUAAUAAUAAUAAUAAUACUUGUUUAUGUUUUAAUUAUUCUUUAUAUAAUGAAUAAUUAGUAUUUAUGUUUUAAUCAUUCUUCAUUUCAUACAUUCCAAGUUAGACAGGUGCAACUAAUGUGUGUAGCUGCAACAUAAACCAUCAAGAUGCAUUUUUUAUUUGCUUAACCAAAAAAAGAGAUGUGUUUAUCUCUAUAUUAAAUUUCUCAUUGUUACAAUGGAAAGGAAUCAAACUUUUGAUAUAACACAUGUCGUCACUUACCUUCACCACUUGGUUUGACCCUGAGGUUUGGAUUUCUUACCCUUUAGCAACACAAUCCAACAAGAUGCAUUUUUUGCUUACUUACCAAAAGAGAAACAUGAAUUUUUCUCUAUAUUAAAUUUCUUAUUGUUACAAUGGGAGGAAAUCAAACUUUUGAUCUAACACAUGUCGCCACAUACCUUCACCACUUGGUUUGACCCCGAGGUUUAGAUUUCUGACCUUUUUAGCUAAUUGCUUUAGCAAUCCAUACAACACAAUCCAACAAGAUGCAUUUUUCGCGUAGUUACCAAAAGAUAAAACAUGAAUUUUUCAACAUAUAAAAUUUCUUAUUGUUACAAUGGGAGGAAAUCAAACUCUUAUCUGAAUCAUAACUCUUUUAGAAAUUCAUAAAACACAAUCCACCAAAAUUUAUUUUUUCGCUUACUCAACAAAAGAAACAAAAUAUAUUUUUCUAUGUAUUUUAGAUUUCUUACCUUCUUUUUUUUUCGUUAUUCCAUAAGGGAGUCGAGCCCUUUGCCUAAUCAAAUUCUAACCCAUUUCCCAACCUAUCCUCUCAACUUUAACUAAUUGCUUCACCUAUAUAAAUAUCCUAUCACUACAGGAACUUCAAGUACUUGAGCACAGAAGUCAAUUUCCUAUAUACUAUAUACGUAUCUUAUACAUUCUUGCUAUCUAAUUGCUAACUCAAAAAGACAUGGACAAGUCUUCAUCAAAAUUAGCUCUUCUGGUUGUGCUCAUGGUCAUUGCAUCUGGUAAAACCUCUCAUUCUUGUUUCGCCAUGCAUGGUGUCUAAAAUUAAAUUAAAUUUGGAUAACUCCCAAGAUUUCAAUAUCGACUAAUAUCACAAUAGUCUACUCAUUAUAUAAGUAAAUAAUUAAUUAAUUGUUGGCAGGUGUGAAGCUAUGUGCUGAAGCAAGAACCUUCGGAGUCGUAGAUCCUGCUUGCCCCUAUGAUCCAGAAUGUGCGAAUUUUUGUUGUGCGAACCAGAAAGUAGAGGCACAUCACACCAUUCCUCCUCCCCUUUCCACCACGGCCAUGAACUGAAGUUAAUUAAUUUCAGGCACAGGCACACAUGACAUUGUGUUGUUGCCUAGUUUGCUCAAUAAAAUUGGAAACCAUAGUUUACAGGGAUGAUGAAGAAUUAAUACAAAUAUGGCUGCUGUAUUUCUCUUACUAAUUUAUCUUUUAUGAUACAAGCGAUAUCUGGGAUGGGAAGAUCGAAUCUAAGGGGGGUGUAUCCAAUUCAUACUUAUAAAGACUUUUUUUAAGUGAGUGACUUUCAUAGAGAUGACAAAUUCUUAAAUACUUUCAUAGAGUUGAUAAAAGUCACAAAUAAAUUGGCAAGACUUUUGCUCUUAAUAAUUAGCCUUAAAAGUAUGGAAAAGUCAUUCAUUUAAUAAGCUUUUUAAAAGUCAUUAACUUUUUGAAUACCACUAAACUUUUAAAUACUUUUUAAAAGUCAUAAUUGAAUACCACCAAACUUUUAAAUACUUUUUAAAAGUCACAAUUGAAUACCACUAGACUUUUAUAUACUCCUUAAAAGUCUAAAUUGAAUACCUCAAGACUUUUAAACUCUAUAAAAGUCAUUAAAAGUUUGAAUUGGAUACACCCCCCAAAGUGCAACUGUAAAUACUCUUAACCACUUGAGCUACAAACGCUUUACAUUAAUUUAUUUAUUUUUAAUACAAACAAUAAUCGGAAUUACUUGAAAUUUAUCUUAGUAAUUCGUUUUGAUCUUCCAUUCAAGCUCAUAAGACAAUUUGAAACAAGAAUCAAUCGGCUGAUUACACAUGUAACAAUAGGCAUUAGGGGCUUUGUGAAAAAGUGAAAGUUAUAGGCAAAGACUUUGGGCCUCUCCCGUUUGUGACUUCUAUGUGGGCUUAAGCUCGGCCAAACGAACAAAAGUAUAUAUAUCAAUCCAUUCCAAGUGAGACAAGUACGUAAAUAAUUUGGGUAGUGUAAUGCAUUUUUUGCUUUCUUAACCAAAAAAAAAAAAAGAAUUGCAAUUUUUACUUGCUUACCAAAGAAAAAUAUGCAUUUUUCACUGUAUUAAAUUUGUUACCCUCUUUAGCUAAUUGCUUCACCUAUAUGAAUAUAUAUACUAUGUGGGAUUCAAAGCAAGUACUUGAGUGCAACAAACAACAAACGCCAUUACCAAUAUUAUACAUUCCUGCCUUGCUAUCUAAUUGCUAACUAAAAAAAUACGUGGACAAGUUUGUAUAAAACAAAUGGUUUUUUUGGCUGGACUCUUGGUUAUUGCAUAUGGUAAGAUAUCUCAUCCUCAUUAUUUACUUUUGCGAUAAUGAUACUAGAUAUAUCAGUUAAAUUUAGGCUUCAACUCUUGAGUGUUAGGUGCCCUAAGUCCGACCAAAACUCAAAAGUUAAAACCCAAAAUAUGGCCUCUAUCAAAACAUUAUGUAUUCUAAAUUAGCAACUAUCUCGUGCAAAUGGAUCGAAACUAGCAAAAAUAUCAUGAAAAUGCAUUAAGAAUAAGUUGGUAAGUUUAUAACUCAAAUGUGUUGGCAUGGAGGGUCUGGAUCUAUAUGCAGAAGCAAUUGAAGUGUCUUGAUCCAGCAAGUCCAUGUUUACCAAAUGCAUUUGGUCAGUCAAACAUUGAAAAACAUGCUUCCGAUUUUGAAAAUCGUGAGGUUGAAUUUGAACUAAGUGAUUUGUUAUUGACUUUCUUUUUCAACUCUGUCUCUCACAGGAUAACCUAAUUCGUGAUGAUAACAAAAUGAUAUUAAUAUUUAAAAUGUAUACCCAUGCGGGUCGCGGCUGUACUUUUAAAAUAUAUUAAUAUUUAACGAUUAUGGCCGCGCCGUUGUACUUUGAAAAUAUGUUAAUAUUUAACAUGUAUAGCCGCGCGGGUAUACUGUUAAAAUAUUUGUAUACAUUUAAAGUGGAUAUACUCGUUAAAUAGAUUUUAAUAUUUUAAAAGUAUAGCCCAAAAUGAUUUUCUUUUAUGUAAUUAAGUAAUAUCUUAGCCUUUUUUUAAUUACUUUAAUUGGUAAUUAUUUUAUUUCGUUAGUGAAUAAUUAGUAUUUAAAUAUUUUACUAAUUUCAUAAAUUAAUUAAUAAAUAGUAAUGAAUUAUUUUAGAUUAUUUUGUGAACUUUGUUUAUAUAUAUAUAUUACAAAAUUAGUUUUCUUUAGUUUAAUAUUUGUAAUUAAGUAAUGUCUUAGCAUUAUUGACCAAUUAUUAUUAUUACUUAUAUUUUAAUUACUCUUUAUAUAAUGAAUAAUUAGUAUUUAAGUUUUAAUCAUUCUUCAUUUCAUCCAUUCCAAGUCAGACAAGUGCAACUAAUGUGUGUAGCUACCACAUAAACCAUCAAGAUUCAUUUUUUACUUGCUCUGCCAAAAACAGAGAUGCAUUUUUCUCUAUAUUAAAUUUCUUAUUGUUACAAUGGAAGGGAAUCAAACUUUUCGUAUAACACAUGUCGUCACUUACCUUCACCACUUGGUUUGACCCCAAGGUUUAGAUUUCUUACCCUUUUAGCUAUUCCUUUAGCAACACAAUCCAACAAGAUGCAUUUUUCACUUACUUACCAAAAAAGAAAACAUGAAUUUUUCUCUAUAUUAAAUUUCUUAUUGUUACAAUGGGAGGAAAUCAAACUUUUGAUCUAACACAUGUCACCACCUACCUUCACCACUUGGUUUGACCCCGAGGUUUAGAUUUCUGACCUUUUUAGCUAAUUCCUUUAGCAAUCCAUACAACACAAUCCAACAAGAUGCAUUUUUCGCUUAUUUACCAAAAGAGAAAACAUGAAUUUUCCUCCAUAUUAAAUUUCUUAUUGUUACAAUGGGAGGAAAUCAAACUCUCAUCUAAAUCAUAACUCUUUUAGAAAUUCAUAAAACACAAUCCACCAAAAUUUAUUUUUUCGCUUACUCAACAAAAGAGACAAGAUACAUUUUUCUAUGUAUUUUAGAUUUCUUACCUCCUUUUUUCUUUAUUCCAUAAGGGAGUUGAGCCCUUUGCCUAAUCAAAUUCUAACCCAUUUCCCAACCCUAUCCUCUCCACUUUACCUAAUUUCUUAGCUUUUAACUAAUUGCUUCACCUAUAUAAAUAUCCUAUUACUACAGGAACUUCACGUACUCGAGCGCAGCGGUCAAUUUCCUAUAUACUAUAUACAUAUCUUAUACAUUUCUGCUAUCUAAUUGCUAACUCAAAAAGACAUGGACAAGUCUUCAUCAAAAUUGGCUCUUUUGGUUGUGCUCAUGGUCAUUGCAUCCGGUAAAAUCUCUCAUUCUUGUUUCGCCAUGCUUGGUGUCUAAAAUUAAAUUAAAUUUGGAUAACUCCCAAGAUUCAAUAUCGACUAAUAUCACAAUAUUAUACUCAUUAUAUAAGUAAAUAAUUAAUUAAUUGUUGGCAGGUAUGGAGCUAUGUGCUGAAGCAAGAACCUUCGGAGUCGUAGAUCCUGCUUGCCCCUAUGAUCCAGAAUGUGCGAAUUUUUGCUGCGCGAACCAGAAAGUAGAGGUGCAUCAUGCCAUUCCUCCUCCCCUUUUCACCACGGCCAUGAACUAAAGUCAAUUAAUUUCAGGCACACAUGACAUGGUGUUGUUGCCUAGUUUGCUCAAUAAAAUUGUAAACCAUAGUUUACAGGGAUGAUGAAGAAUUAAUACAAAUAUAGCUGCUAUAUUUCUCUUAUUAAUUUAUUUUUUAUGAUACAAGCGAUAUCUGCGAUGGGGAGAUCAAACCUAAGGUGCAACGAUAAUGCUCUUAACCACUUGAGCUACAAACGCCUUGCAUAUAUUUAUUUAUUUUUAAUACAAACAAUAAUCGGAAUUACUUGAAAUUUAUCUUAGUAAUUUGUUUUAAUCUUUCAUUAAAACUCACAAGGCACUUUGAAACAUGAAUUAAUCGGGCUGAUUACACAUGGAACAAUUGGCAUUAGGGCCUUUGUGAAAAAGUGAAAGUGAAAAUAGGCAAAAACUUUGGGCCUCUCUCGUCUGUGACUUCUAUGUGGACUUAAGCUCGGCCCAAUUAUGGGUGACAAACCCCACAAACAAAAAAUAUAUAUCAAUCCAUUCCAUGUGAGACAGUUGUAAAUAAUUUGAGUUGUGUAAUGCAUUUUUGGCUUUCUUACCAAAAAAUAAAGAUGCAUUUUUUACUUGCUUACCAAAGAAAAAUAUGCAUUUUUCACUGUAUUAAAUUUGUUAACAUCUUUAGCUAAUGAGUAAUGUUACACUUACCACAUUUUUAUUCCACAUUUCUAUACAACAUGAUGUGACAUGUCCAUAUCAUAUGUCACAUCAAUUAAAUCAAUGAAGUGUAUUUUAAUAAAGAUAGUUUAAUUGAUAAUUUUUUUUAUGGUGUUAAUAAAUCAUAAAAGAAAAGAAAAUGUUAAAUAAUUUUAAUUGAUAUAUGAUUGUCCACCUCAUCUGCCACAUAAGGUGGUAUAAAAAUAUGAUAUACAAAUGUGGUAAGAGUAACAUUAUUCUUAGCUAAUUGCUUCACCUACAUAAAUAUAUACUAUGUGGGAUUCAAAGCAAGUACUUGAGUGCAACAAACAACAAAUGCCAUUACCAACAUUAUACAUUCCUGUCUUGCUAUCUUAUUGCUGACUAAAAAAUACAUGGACAAGUUUGUAUAAAAAAUGGCUUUUUUGGCUGCACUCUUUGUUAUUGCAUAUGGUAAGAUAUCUCAUCCUCAUUAUUUACUUUUGCGAUAAUAAUACUACAUAUAUGAGUUAAAUUUCGGGGGGAAAUUUUUACAUGAACCAGCCAAUAUGACUUUAAAUCUUUUCUAAAUGUGUGUGUAGGCCCACGUGUGGACACGUGAUCAAAGAAUUGUUACAUUGGCUACCAACGAAGAUAGACAAUAGAAAUUCUAUUAAUAUUCAUCUUAUUUUUUGCCAUUUCUCCAUAAGGUAUGUAAUCCCCAUGAGAAGAGAACUACCAAAUUGAGGGUGGAAUUUUUAUAUGAAUUAGGCAGAAUGACGUCAAAUAUUUGCCAAAUGUCUACGUGUAUGCCACCCACGUGUCGAUACGUCACUAAAGAGGACCACAUUUAAAUAAUUUGAAAGUGAAUCGGGAGAGGGGGUUGUUCUCACACACUAUCAAAGUGUCAUGAGAGUUUGAACAUGAGAUCACUAGUCUGCAAGUGAAGGCCCUUUUUUUGGGCCAAACCUCGUUGGCCAGGUCGAAACUGGCAGUCUUCACCAAACCAACCAAGAACACAUGAGAUUUAACCUGGUUCAGCCUUUAUAUGCCUACGUUCAUGGAGAGGAGAUCAGAGUAAUUUACUAGUUUCUUAAUCCAUUGACAAAGGGUCAAAGGGUCAAAAAAAUUCAACUAAUUACAUUCAUUAUCAAAAUUGCAAUCUGAGAAAGAAACUUAUAAUGAAACUGAUACAAGAAUCACAAAAAAGUAUGGCUUUUCCUUUUACAAGAAUAGCUGGCGAGAAUCAUCAAUCAUAUAGCAGCUUUGCAGAUUGGGUUCUCAAGGUUUUGCUUUCAUGCUUCUUAGUUUUUUCAACAGCCUGCUCUUUUUUCGAUAUAGCCCUUACUAUGGCUUUUUUCUUUCGGGCAUUUUUUGAUCUCUUCAUUUGCCUUCCCUUUAUCUUUCUGUUACGGGAAAAUUUUCAAAAUUAAAGAGCUGUAAACAAAAAAACAGAAAACAGACAGAUGCAAUAAACAAAGGAGCUGGAAAUGAAAUGAAACCAGGAAAGGCAAAUCAAUGACUUCAAUCACAGAAGCAUUAAAUGGGUAAAUUAAACAAACAAAUAACAUAUAAGUUAAUGGGAUGAGGUAGAAUUUCUUCAUUCAUCGUUAGCCACCCUUAGCCCAUAAGAAAGAGAAAUAUAUUAAUCAGGAGGGCAAAAUCCUCGACCCUAUUUUCACAGGAAAAACAUUUUUAAUCAAAUUCUAAUCACGUGCCACAUCAUUGAACCCUUCCCUUCCCCAAAUUUCUCUCCUCUCAUGCCUUAAAUCAUAACCCUAUUCCUGCACUUUUGACAUGAUCAGUCACAGAGCAGUAUCAACAAGCUACAAAAACAAGUCUCCUCAUUACCCGUUCUAACCAUGCUCGAAUGACCCCCAAAAACAUAGUGAUGUUAAAGUAGUUCCUUCUCAACAACAAAACAUGAAGAAGUAACCAGGCUAGAUCACAGGCAAAAAGUACUUCAGAGUGAGAGUAGCAGAGAUACUCCCCUGUCGAAGAACUAGGUACUAGAAAACCAUAGGUUGACUAUCAAAGUGACGAUUUGCAAUGUUUGUCAUGCCAUGCAGUAAUACCACAGGCCAUCUAACACAGCCAUUUUCCUAACACGUACUUUAUACAACCCAACCCAUCUGCGCCACUUAAGGUGUUGAACCGUUAAAAAAUGCAGCAAAUUUUUUAUACAUAUGAAAUUCAUCCGAGACUUUUUAUAGAAAUUUGAAAAUUCUCACAAUAUGCAUAUAAUUGGUUAAAUCUAUCUAAUGAAUAGUAAAUACAAAAUACAUUCCAAGAUAAUUAUGAAUGAAAUCGAUUUUGUUUAAAAUUUGAAAUUAUGCAAUAUCUUAUCAAGUAAACAACCUAUAUGUUCACACAACAAAAAGAGGACUAGUAAACAUCCACAAACAUUAAAGACCCUGUAGCACCACAUAUGCACUCGUUUAUUUGAAUUGAACCCAGAAAGCAGCCUCACCCAUAAUCUUUUAGCAAUAGCUACAAUACCCAAUUAACACAAAUCAAGACCACAAAUCAAUCAGUCGAAGAAAAUCAUGUUUAAAUGUGUGUUUAAGGUUUAAGAUUUUAAAUUUGUGGUCUUGAUUAUCACUCCUCUAAUAGAAAAACCCAUUAACCUUAUAAAAAUGAGUGCUUGGUAAGAAUUGAUACUUACAAACUGGAAGCACCACCACUUGGGUUGUGAGCCCCAGACUCUGAGGUGUCCAUUGCUGCACAAUCAAUGUACAGAAAGGGUCAAAAUUCCCCAAAGCUAAGGGGAGAGAGAGAGAGAGAGGAAAGUUAUAGUCAUAGAAUUUUAUGAAAUUAGAACAGGACUUAAUACCUUGAGGCAAAUCUGAAACGGGAUCUCCAGUGAUGUCCAUUGAAGCGGCAUCGUUUCUCUUCUUCUUGUUCCUGUUCUUCGCCAUGGCUUUCGAGAGAGAGAACCGAAUAAUCCUGUAAAGGUUGAGCCUUUGAGGGAAUAAACCCUAGGCUGAGCACACAAGAGCAGAUACCACAGAGGACCCGCUUAAAGGUGGGUAAUUGCCCGAGCGGACCAACCGAAUUUCAAUUGGACCACCUUUAACCUUAUUAUGUUGGGCCAUUUUGAGAAUUGUUGAGAAGAGUCGAGGGUGCAAACAAAUCUUGUGUUAUUUACUAUUAGAAGACCCGAAAGGCUAAAUGAGGACUUUAGUGUGAGGAGUUUAUUUGAGGGGUUAUAAGAGAUAGUCUACUAUAAAGGUGAGUGGGUUUCUUACACACAUUGCAAGGUUUUAUGGGAGUUCAAACUUGUGACCAUUGAUUUAUAAAUCAAGGCCUUUUUUAACUAGGCUAUACCCAUUGGCAUCUAGUGUUAUUUACUUCUUGUUUUAUGCAUCUACUUUUCUGAUCAGUGUCUACGAGAUAUUUGAGCUAGGAAAAAAUUGAAGUCAAAGCCUAUACUACGAUUUUGUUUUAAAAAAAAUCGUAUAGUCGGGCAGCUAUACUUAUUUUUGACAUGUGGUGCCUAAUCGUUAGCGGGUCCUUUUUUAAAAAAAAUAGUACAACCAUGCAACUAUAUUUAGUUUUUUUAAUGUUUUAAAUGUACUUGGCUUGACAUGUAGAACAUAAUCACCAGAGGGUCCCCUUUUUUUAUAUAAAAAAUAAUAUAGCCACACGGCUAUACUGUUUUACACGUGAGCGCCUAGGCGCAAUGCGAUUGCUCUGUUUUUUGUUUUUUUUCAAUAAAUAGUAUAGCUGCGUGUCGAUUUUUUUCUUAUUUUUUUAAAAAAUAGUCUACCCAUGCGGAUUUACUGGCUUUUUUAAUUCUCUUUAAUAAAUCGUAUAGCCGAGCGGCUAUACUAUAUAUAUAUAUAUAUAUAUAUAUAUACUGGAAUCCUUUUUUUCUUUCAAAUUUUUUUGACGAUUUUCAUUUAUCGAUAAGAGUAAUUAUUCAUUACUAUUAGGCCAUUACCCAAGUCUCUAUUAUCCCUUUUUAAUUUUUUACUUUUCCAGAGUUAUUACACAUAUAAAAAAUUUAGCACUUUCACGUUUAAUACUCUAUUAUACACGUACGUACGUUUUUUUGAAUAAUACAUUCAUGUUCUAUACAUGUCUCAUGUUUUUUAAAAAGCAAACGUACAAUAGUCGUGUUGUAUAUGCACGUACGUAUUUCUAAUGUUUAAUACACAUAUUUUUUACAAAAUUUUCAGUAAGACACAUAAAAUUUACGUAUUAUACAAAUAAUUCUCAUAUAUUAUUGAAUAAGAAUAAUAUAUGUUAUAAAAAUUAUAUUAUAAUAUUAUAUAGUGGCCGAUUAAUAUAUGCUUUAGAUAUGUUGAAACUAGCAAAUUAAUAUCUAUAAAGUACAAAUUAAUGCAACUAGGAGGGUCUUUUUUUCUUAAUUUUUUUCUAUUAAAGAGUAUCGCCGUGCUGCUAUACCUUUUAAAUAUAAUGUAUUUAAAUAGUAUCGUCGGGUGGCAAUACUACGAUUUUUUUUUAAACGUAUAGCCGGACGGCUAUACUUAUUUUUGACAUGUGGCACCUAAUCGCUAGCGGGUCCUCUUUUUAAAAAGAAUAGUAUAGCCGCCCAGCUAUACUCAAUGUUUUUAAUUUUUAAUUUUUUGACACGUGGCACAUAAUCGCUCUGGGGUCCUCUUUUUUACAUAUAAAAAAAUUAGUAUAUCCGCACGACAAUACUCAUUUUUUUAUUUUUAUUUUUUUUAAAAUAGUAUAGCCAGGCGGCUUUACGGGUUUAUUGUCUUUAAUAAAUCAUAUAGCCGAGCGGCUAUACUAUAUAUAUAUAUAUAUAUUGGAAUCCUUUUUUUCUUUUAAAUUUUUUCUAUGAUUUUUGUUUAUCGACAAGAGUAAUUAUCCAUUAAUAUUAAGCCAUUACCCGAGUCUCUAUUGUCCCCUUUUAAUUUUUUACUCUUCCAGAAUUAUUACCCGUAUAAAGAAUUUAGUACUUUCACAUUUAAUACUCUAUUAUACACGUACGCAGUGACGGAUCUAUUAAGGAGCAAGGAGGUGCAGCUGUACCUCCCCCCGCCGGAAAAUCACCUGGAGAGGCCGGAAUUUGCCCCUUUGAUGGUGCUCACCAUUUGUUCGAUUAAAUGUCUCAAAGAGGCUCUCCUGUUUUGGUAGUGAAAAAUCGCAUCUAUUAUGACAAGACUCCUUCAGAUGUGUGUUUAGUUAGAAUUGCAUACUUCUUUUUCUGGCACAAAGACGCUACGCAAGGAAGAAGAUGUGAGAGGAAGAGGAUGCGCGAGGAAGAAGAUGCACGAGGAAGAAGAUGUGUGCUGUUUAUUUUGGGUUUCUCAUUAAAACGAUGUCUGUUGUAAAUAAUAAGGUGGAGCCCACCACUUGUUGGAUGGAGCUUUACCUACUCCACCACUUGUUGGAUGGAGCUUUACCUACUCCACCACUUGGUGGAAGGAGCUUUACCUACAAAAGGGUUGAUCCCUCCUUGUAAUGUUCAAACAGAAUACACAGAGAUGAGAUUGAAAACACAGAUAUGAGAUAGAGAAAACAUUCCAUUCUCUCCAUCUCAAUUUCUCUCCAAUUCCUCUUGAUUUAUAACACGUUAUCAGCACAAGGCUCUAACCAGCUGAGUUCUCUGAUAAAACCCAGAGACCAAAAUCAACCGGAAUUCUCAGCUCUCUCUGUCUCCCAUAUCUGUAGAGAUAUUCCCACUGAAGCCUCUGAACAUCGCCGAUGCUCAACUUCUCAACCCCAAAUCCCAAAACCCCCCGUAUAUAUUCUUUGACUCAAUUAAUUUGUUUCCACCAGGAAACUUCAUCAUCUUCCUCAGUAAAUUAACAAGUCCCAGAUCGUCAUUUCCUUCUCAUCUUCUGCUCUCGCCAUCGUGCCAACUUACAAUAUUAUUAUGACUUCAUCGUCAAUGUGUGAACAAGUUUAAUACCAACAAGCAAUUUCCAAACAGACCAACCUUUCACCACCAACACCCCCGCCUCCGCCAACAACAAGCAACAAGCCGCCAUUAAAUCCCUCACUUUCCAGCUUAAGGACAUGGCAUUGAAGGCCUCGGGAGCUUACAGGCACUGCGCCCCCUGCACCGGUCCGGCUGCUCAGAGUCGGCUCAAGGGGACCGGCGAGUCGGAUGCUGACUCGGACAGGUUCAGGUGGUCGUACCGGCGGACCGGGAGCUCAAGCUCCACGACGCCGAGGACUUGGGGGAAGGAGAUGGAGGCGAUCGCUCUGCUGGUGCUGCUGGAACCCGAAUUCAAGCUCCAAGAAGAGCAGCAACGCCUUGCCCCGUAGCUCCAGCUCUCGGGCUCGGUCCCUCACCGACCCUCUCCUCCAGCCUCACCAGCUUGUUAACCAGAAUGUGCGCUACAUUUACAGGGCCAGAGUGUUAACCAAAGGAUCUUGUUUUGGUUCGAUGUGGACGAAAUCAGAGUCGAUUUGCCGCCUUCUGCUAGCAUUUACUUCACUGUGGGCAUUAUUAUUAACAAGAAGCACUUUCCUAAGAAAUCUUUAGCCUCAUCUGAUAACCAGAGAUUUGGAAGCAAUCUGAAGCAUGAGGUCCCAGGGUCUCGCCCCAGCUUUCAAAUCCCAUGGCUGCUUCCCAGUCAUCAUAAAGAACACCAGAUAUCAAAACCGGCUGGAUGUCCAUGAAUGGCAAACCCAGGAUAUUUUAUUUUAUUCCAAAAGCAACCGGCUACACACCAUAUGUCCACUCUCGAUGCAGGUAGUGAUAAGCACAUGAGGUACACAAAUACCAGGAUUGAUGAGUAGCACCACCGAAAAAGAACAGCACAUGUUGUCGAGUGCGCAUGAUUACAGCCCCACCCACACAUUCUGCUGCACAUGUGAAAACCCACCGAAACACUGAAAAAAAAAAAAAAUCACUCAGCAAGGGCAUAAGCGAAAGAAUAAGCGAUAAGAUCUCUGCUCCCUUAUCUUCCCUAUUAUUUCCUAUUAUAUUUAUCUGCUUUUCUUUUACUAACCAUUAACAAAAAUGGACCCUUGGUAAUACUAAACAUAUUAUUAGUGGGAGGCCGUUACUAAUACUAACAUUUUUCUUAUUUUAUUCGGUGGUGGUUUUAACCCCACAUUUAUUUUAUUUACUGUAUGGUGUAGGUUUAUUACCCAUACAACCAGUAUUUAUUUAAAAGGGUGGUGCGGGUUUAUCGUCCACGCCUUUACUUUUAUUUAAAUGUAUGGAGCAGAAUUAGUGCCCAUACAAGCACAAUUUACUGCACAUUUAAUUUUAUUUAAAGUAUGGUGCGGGAUUAACGUCCAUACAGCAAGCAAUUUAAUUUAUGAAUUUAAUUUACCGCACAUUUACAUUUAUUUAAAGUGUGGUGCGAGUUUAUCGUCCAUACCGGUAAUUUAUUUACCAGCAAUUUAUUUUAUGGAUUAAAUGUGCUGUAUGAUGAGUUUUUACAGUAAGCAGAUCAGGACCAGAAGUUCCUUGAUCCUCAUCAUACAAUUACAUCAGGAUUUGAAGAUCCUUGAUGAUGAUGUUAAUAUGAGAGCUGGCAGUCUCUCCGGUACUAUAUUUGUAAACAUGUGAUUGGACUUGAGGGUCCUUGAUCCUUGACAUGUAAAUAAGGACUUGGGGUUCCUUAAUGAUGUAACAGUACCGUAUUGGUUCAUAAUGCCGUACACAUGGAUGAUAACUGUACUGGCAAAUGUACUGUACACAUGAAUAGUGUCGUAUACAUGAAUAGUGAUGUAUGCAUAAAUAUUUACCAUUUUGGGUAAACUAUCACCAUUCAAAAGGGAACCUGCAGUUCCUUAAACUCAUGGAUGAGCAAUUAAAUGAGAUGUCAGAAGUUCAUCAAAAUAUGGACAAUUAUGUAAGGGCUUGAAGUCCAGAAAUAUGUACAGAAAAUUGUAAAAAUGUCCAUACCAUGAGAAUAUGUGAUUUUGGCCCGAAGUUCAAAAUCUAAGGGGAUUGAAUGUCUAUACCAUGAGAAUAUGUGAUUUUGGCCUGAAGUUCAAAAUCUAACAGUGUUGAGAACCUGAAGUUCCAACAAUUAAAUGGACAACCCUUGAGGUAUUAUUGCAAAUUGUGGUACGCCACAUAUUUCUUUGGCAUAAGAGAAUGAUGAAUUUAAUAAAGUUCGAUUCUGUUAUAAUCGACACCUCAAGGAAGAAAUAUAUUUUGUGAAUUCCGGUUGUUAAGAAUACACCGUGAAAUGGAUAAUAUCAAUAUAAAUCUCAAAUGAUGAAUUGAGGCUUCCCACACAUUUUGAUAUAUCUAUGAGAAAUCCCGAAUUUGAGAUUGUGGGUAUAUAGUAGUUAAUGCUCUUCACUACUAUAUUACGAUAUUAUCGUAGCUUUUACUCAAUUCAUAUUUCAUGUCCAUUUGAAAAGGGCAAAUAAAUUCUGAGUUCUGUGUUUAGCCCAGGCCAAAAGUUUGAAAUAUGAAAUUUGGGAGAGUCGAUGUGGUUAUUUGAACCUAUAAGGCACAAGGUUCCAAACCGUCAUUUUGAAAAGACGUAAAAACCACAGGUGCAAAUUUUAAGAAUGUGCGCAAUUAUUAUAACAGGAAAGGAGCAAGUUGAAACGCAGUUGCUCCAAUCAAGUUUUGCAAAGGCCAUAUCUAUAGGAGGAAAUAUGGCUACAGUUUCCAGGAUCCCAAUAUUAUCUCAGAUCCCCAUAUUAUCUUUCUCUUUCCCAGAGUCCAAAACUUCACGUGACCUCUGAUAAUGCCUAUCGGCACUUUCGGCGUUUUCAAGUAUUAUUUUCGUCAAAGCUGAUCUUGCUUUACGGAUUUCACGGAGCUACUUUUUCAAAAGUGCCCCGAGAAUCUCGCAAUUUUCCUAUGGUUAAUUUGAAAUUCACCAGUUCUACCUAUUCAUCUUAUUUGUGUAUAAAUGUGUUACUAACGAAAUUUUCUUUGCAGAAGACAUCAAGUUUUCUCCAUACCUAGUGAUGCGAUAUCUACUUGUUUUUAUUAUCAGUGAGCACUUAAUAUGCCCGAGAAGCAAGACUAUCUCUGAUCAUCCAUUCAGGAAGCGAGACUAUCCCUGAUUACGUUUCCGCCACAUCAGGGAACUGUGAAGGCAACCUUAUACUCUAAUCUCCGGAAGUUCUUCUAAACUAGAAGAAAUGAGAGCUUGUCGUUUGCUCCCACCAGCUUCCUUCCUUGAUUGUUGAGCUUGUUGUCUGCUCCCACCAGCUUCAUUCCUUGAUUGCUUACCUUCUCUUGCAAUCAAUAUCACAUUAUUUUUGUAUUUUUUCUCUUUCUGUAACUCUCUGAGGAUUAUUUGUUUUUGACAGAGAAAAGAGUUGUGAUUUUACUCUUGCAGGAUAUAACUAGAUCAUCAAGCGCUACAUUUACUGGGCCGAUACAAGCUUGAAUGAUACUUGAGAAAAGUUUCUCCCACCUAAGGAUGUAAGCAAUACUUGUGUUAUUUUAUGCUUAUAUACUUAUUUGAUAUUUUAUCUUGAAAGGUAACCAAAUGGAAAGAUAAGUCCGUUCCAAAAGAAUGGCUUGUAUGUAUCCAUGAAUUAUUAAUGCAAAUUUUACAGAUUGUAAGUUGGAUACAUUGAUAAUACACUACACAGAUUAAAGUCCCAUAAGAACAUAAUAUGGGUAUAGCAGUGAUCAAUAUGAUGCACGCCUGUUGCGUAGCAAAUGAUGUGGAUUGAAGUCCCGAAAGGACAAUCCUUUGACAUGUCAAUAUUGAUAUUAUGCACGCCUAAUGCGUAGCAAAUUAUAUGGGUUAAAGUCCCAUAAUAUGGGUUAAAGUCCCAGAAAUUAAUUGACAUGUCUGUAUUAAUCUGUGGCAUGCCUGCAGCAUGACAGAUAUAUGUAUCCAUGAAUUAUUAAUGCAAAUUUUACAGAUUGUAAGUUGGAUACAUUGAUAAUACACUGCACAGAUUAAAGUCCCAUAAGAACAGAAUAUGGGUAUAGCAGUAAUCAAUACGAUGCGCGCCUGUUGCGUAGCAAAUGAUGUGGAUUGAAGUCCCGAAAGGACAAUCCUUUGACAUGUCAAUAUUGAUAUUAUGCACGCCUAAUGCGUAGCAAAUUAUAUGGGUUAAAGUCCCAUAAUAUGGGUUAAAGUCCCAGAAAUUAAUUGACAUGUAUGUAUUAAUCUGUGGCAUGCCUGCAGCAUGAUAGAUAUAUGGGUUCUAAAUGUUCCAACUCUCUAAAUAGAGAUUAUCCACGCCCUACUGUAAAAUAACGCUCCAUUGGAGGUUAUAAUCCACAUUCUCACAUAAUAAAAGCCCCAUGAAGUGGCUUGGGUAUCCAAAAGCAAAAGAAAUGCUUAUAAUUGAUGCAUGCGCAUGCACAUGAGAAUUGUGAGAUCAUGAAUUGAUGAAUGACAAUUUUUGGUUUUGGAGUAGCUACUCAAAUCAUCAAUGGGCUGUGUUGAUUGGAACCACGUUCAAUUAUUAAAUGUCGACAAUAUUAUUGGCCAAAAUAGAAUGAGGUAAUUCCAUUAUAGAUGAGAAUGAACGUGAAAGAACAAACCCACAGUACGAACCCCAAAAUUUGUUAAUACUGAAAGUUAUACUUGGGUGUUCGGAAUAAAAGGGAAUAUACCUACUUUGUAUGACACACUGUUUCUGGCAGAAACAAGGAAUAUUGGGUUUUCUCCAUAUUUACAGAUUCAAUUGUGCCCCCCCCCCCCCUUUAUUACACAAUUACGGAGACCAACAUAUUAUCUUUAAGGGUUAUUGAAUGCACGGAGCAUAUCGCCAGAAGCGAUUUCCUAAAGAUGUAUAAAUAGCUGGGUAAAAGCUAUAUAAUGUGUUAUAAAGUUUAAUCCCUUUUAAACAAAAUCCGUUGAGAGGAUUGACAUUGCAUAAAGCAAGUCCCUAAAGGACAUGUACUUGAAGCACAAAAUUUGUACUCAAUAUUAAUGUGCAUAAAUUACCUCAGUGAGUACAUUGAUUAUAAUGUGAUUGCAACACAUUAAAGCUUCUGCAGAAUUCAUGAAAUAUUUGUCUCGACUUAAGGAUCGAGCAUUAUGCCAACGAGAUUCUUGCUUAUACUAAGAGAGUCUUAUCCGUUGGUCCUUAAAUGUUUUUCCGGAAGUAUACUAGACCAGAUAGAGCUCAGCUCCACACUGUACUCUUUUUCCUUCAUCCAGGUUUUUAUCUCAUUGGGUUUUUCCUGGUAAGGUUUUAACGAGGCAGUGUCGCUCAAAGGUUUAGGGUAUACUAUGAAAAUUUUUAUGGUCGCUUACUGGACAAAAGCUAGUCCUAAAUUUUUCAGGGGGAGAUGUUCAUCAGGGGGAGCGUGGUUUUAAUAAAGACCUCCAUACACUGUACUCUUUUUCCUUCAUCCAGGUUUUUAUCCCACUGGGUUUUUCCUGGUAAGGUUUUAACGAGGCAGUGUCGCUCAAGAUUGACUCACAGAAGCAGUGUCAACUACGAUAUUCAGAAAGGUGAUCAACAACAUGACUUAAAGAUAUUUUUGCCAAGCAUCAGGGGGAGCGCGCUAUCAAUAAAGAUCUUCAAACACUGUACUCUUUUUCCUUCGUCCAGGUUUUUAUCCCACUAGAUUUUUCCUGGCAAGGUUUUAACGAGGCAGUGUCGCACGCGCGUCAAUAUACAUAGAAUUUUAUGUUACACAUGAUUAUGUACUCUUUUUCCCUUUGACCAGUUUUUUUUUUGUCCCACUAGUUUUUACUGGCAAGGUUUUUAACGAGGCAUAUUCCAUAUCAUUUGUGGUCUCCAAGGGGGAGUGUUGUAAAUAAUAAGGUGGAGCCCACCACUUGUUGGAUGGAGCUUUACCUACUCCACCACUUGUUGGAUGGAGCUUUACCUACUCCACCACUUGGUGGAAGGAGCUUUACCUACAAAAGGGUUGAUCCCUCCUUGUAAUGUUCAGACAGAAUACACAGAGAUGAGAUUGAAAACACAGAUAUGAGAUAGAGAAAACAUUCCAUUCUCUCCAUCUCAAUUUCUCUCCAAUUCCUCUUGAUUUAUGACAAUGUCGUCUUAGUAUAUGAGUUUCAUUUAAAAUGAAACGAUAUGUUUGCUCAAACCUUCUUAGGAUAUAAAAAAGACAUGUUUGGUGGAACAGUCACUGAAUUAAAAAAAAUAAAGAAUGAAACGAUGGAUGCUCUCCAUCCCUUCCUUUCAAGUCAUGUCAUCAUGAGCAAUAGUACUCUCUCAUAAUCAUAUCAUUAGGUUUUGUUAUUUUAAAUGCAAUGGUGCCUUUUGUCUGUAGUAAAACCUUUAUUAAUUUUUUUGGAACAUCUUCGUUAUUCAAUAUUGCAUUAGCUUAGUCUAAUAUGAAAACUUAAAGGUAUUUUUUAGAAAGAAAAAAAAAUUCAUGUUAUGAAAGGCUUACGCCUCAAUAUCUCAAGACUCACACCUGAUCUUAAGCCCCCAAAAGAGUAUCACCCUUUAAAAUUUUAGUAGGAACUAGGAGUCUGAGGCUUGUGGAAGGGUACAAAUGAAGGCCAUGUACAUGUAGCUACGAAUUUUGGAUAGUAUUAGUUGGUAAUUUUUUUUAAUUUUUUUUUAAGCUUUUAACCUUUCAAAUUUUGCCCUUUUUUCAAAAAAAUUAUGGGUCCGCCAAUGCACGUACGUACGUAUUUUUUAAUAAUACAUUCGUGUUCUAUACACAUCUCACGUUUUUUAAAAAGCAAACAUACAAUAGUCGUAUUAUACAUGUACGUGCGUAUUUCUAAUGUUUAUUACACGUAUUUUUUACAAAAAUUUUAGUAAGACACAAAAUUCACUUAUUACACAAAUAAUUCUCACAUAUUAUUGAAUAAGGAAAAUUAUAUGUUAUAAAAAUUAUAUUAAAAUAUUAUAUAGUAGCCAAUUAAUAUAUGCUUUGGAUAUGUUGAAACUAGCCGAUUAAUAUAUAUAUAUAAAGCAAAAGACAGAGAAUGGUAAAAUAUUCAAAAUGCUAGAAAUUGCCCUUGGUUAAUGCAAACAUUAAGAAUUGAAAUUAUUAAUUAAAUGAGGAUAAUAUGGUAAAUUUACACUUUUUCAUAUUUUAAAAAAUUAAAAUUAAAAGAAAAAUCAGAUCAUGGAUCAUAUUUUUAUAGAACACAACUACCCAUUAUCUUUUUUAAUUCUAAAAUAAAUUUAAAUUUGUUUUAAAAAAAGCUUCUCGUAAGCGCAGAAGCGCGUGCAGAGAGUCUAGUAUUUAUGAAGUACAAACUAAUGCAAUAGAAGGGUCCUUUUUUCUUAAAUUUUUUAUUUAUUAUGGCUAUACCUUUUAAAUAUAAUGUAUUUAAAUAGUAUAGUAGUUCGGCUAUACUAUUUUUUGACACGUGGGCCUAAUCGCUAGUGGGUUCUCUUUUUUAUAAAGGCUUAAGUGCUACAGUGUCCCCUGAAAUAUUGGUCAAUUCUCACUUUAUCCCCUUAAAGUUAAAGUGACCCACUUUGCCCUCUUGACUGUGUCUCACUUUGUCCCUCACCAUCAAGUCUGUUAAAAAUUUUGUUAAAAAAGCUGAUGUGGCACCAAUGAGGCCCGCUAUUUGGCUAAACUAAGUGUCAUGUGUGAAGAAAAAAAAUUAAAAAUUAAAAAUUGUCUUUUAAAAUUCUUAAUUUAACUAUUAAAAAUAAAAAUAAUUCUUUAAAACAAAAAAAAUCCCCAAUUCCCCUCCCUAACCCCAUUAUCCCUUCCCAGUCGCCAUCACCACAACCAUAACGACUGCUCUUCUCUCGCAGACCCAAGUUCCACCCCUGAAAGUCUGUGCUGAAUUCGUUACCCCACCAACUUCAACCUGUGCCACAUCUCUGCCUCAAUCCAACAUCUUCCACUUUUAGCAAGACAAAACAAAGAUUCAAUUAAUCUUUCUGUGCAUGCCAAGGCCCUAAUCUGUUACACCAAUUUUUGAAACAUGGGCUGUAUAAAACUCAGACCACCCCUACUUCGAGCCGCAACCCAAGCCCCACUCCCACCCCUAGCCCUUAAACCCAGCAGCCCCAACCCUCCGCACAGUCGUCGACAACCCAAAUGAGCCCUGGCCUCUCUUUCUGUCGAACCUCCAGCAGCUACAACCCACCAUCUUUAUCUCGCUGAAUUCGGAAGCCAUCAAAUUUGGUUGCAGACCUUCGAGUACAAAACAACAAAAACAAUGAAUUUUUUUUCUUUUAAUUUGUUGGUUUUUGAAUUUGCAGAGAGAGGGGUGGAGAGAGAGAGAGAGAGAGAGAGAGAGAGAGGGAGAACGAGGGAGAAGAAAUCUGGGAAGGGUGGCUUGGGGAUGAUGGGUUUUUGGUUUUUUUAAAUUUCUUAUAUUUAAAUAUUUAUAUACACCUAAUUUAUUAAGUGAAGCCCUAGAUCCAUAAUUUGGUGGGGGAUGGAUGAGGUCAAAGCCCUAAAUCCAUAAUUUUUGGAAGACAAUUUUUAAUUUUUUUUCUUCACACCUGUCACUUAGUUUAGUCAAAUAGUGGUUCUUAUUGGUCACCCAUCAGCGUUUGCUUGAACUUGGCCCAUACCCACUUUUCCUCAUAAACCAGAUGACAAUUUUUUUUCUUUUGAUAGCACCAUUACGAUUCUGUGAGAUUAUGUAUUUUCCGUCUUCGUCUAUAGCAACAAGUGCUGUCCACAAGUGCUGUCCAUUGUGGUGGAAAAGCAUGACUUGUAGUUCCCAAAAAAACACAAAAAAGAUUUGUGCCCAUGUUAUUUUUACAAAUGAUAAGAAUAUAUUUAUAAGAUACUUUUAUAAUGGUGUCAAUACAUCAACAACAAAUCACAAUUAGGUAUCGAACAUGAGACCUCCUUUAACUAACUGGAGACAAAUACCACCAGAACAAAGGCUAGUUGAUUACACAUGACAAAUAGUUGAAAAUUUAGGUUUUAGAGUAACUACUACUUGAAAUAAGCCUGAACUAAAACUACCUAACACAACACGUGACAACCCAACAUGACAAGCACUUUCUUCUGGCAUGCUUGUUGUCCUAAGCAAUCUUAGUAUUAGUCUUUAAUUCAUGUUUUCUUCCCCACCACAUAUAUAUUUCAGUGUGAGUGGCAAGCUAAUAAGAUUUUUAGGACGGGCAAUUUGCUAGGUCAGAUGAUAUGUCAAUUAGUGGACAUAAUUAUUGAAUCUGAUAUAGUACACAGCUAGACAGGUUUGGUUUUUUGUUUUUGGCAAUUAACUGCCAAAUUCUUAAUGGCCCCAAGAAGCUAUUAGCUAUCAAAUGGGUCAGGAUUUGUUACUUGGAACACUCUCCUCCUUGUUUUGGGCAGCAAUAUUAAUGAUGUGUAUAUAAAUAAUGGCGGACCUAUUAAAGCACAAGGAGGUGUAGCUGUAUUUUCUUUUGUUGGAAAAACCAUUGUAGGUACUUCAAAUUACCCAUUUGUUCAACUAAUGGUGGUGCACUCUAGUUGAAGUAAAUGUCUUUGUCCUUUUAAUUUCAUUUAUUUUUAUAUUACUCCAUUUACUUAAGUUUACAAUGUAAAUAAGGAAUUACCCUCACUUGGAUUCAAAUAAAAAUACUAAAAAAUCAAAUUCCCAUCUAAUCAAAAUAUGAAAAAUCGGUUUUAGUGCAAACUACGAUUUAGGCUAAAAAUAAUGGCUCAUUAAGUCAACAUAUACUUCACAAUAAAAUCUCAUAACAUCAAGUUUUCUUAUUUGAUAUGUGAGAGAAUAAAAGCUGGCAAAAAUUAUCUUGAGAAAAUGAUUAUUCCAAAAAUCUAUUUUUCAUACUUAGUCAAUAUUGUUACAUAAAAUAAUUUUCGUGUAUGAUAUGAAUGCAUGAAGAGAUCUAAGGUCAAUCUAGGUAAAAAGCCUUAAAUAUUCAAUCCAUGAAGAGUUUUUAGCCUUUUAAAAUUGCACAUAUGCUAAAAAAUUUCUGAAUCCUCCGGUGUAUAUAAGCAUCUGGUUGGUUUACAAUGUGAGGAAUUGGGUCCAAUUGUCGCCUAACCACUUAUUUAUUUUUAUUUCUUGUUUUUGGAAAUUCAAGUUUAGCAAAUUAAGAACCAAAAGACAAGCCCAAGAUGGUCAACAAGAACACAACAAACAACCAACAACUUAGACACAACUCUAAGGCUCUAAACAGCAGCAAACCAGCAACAGCAACAACCAGCCAAUAUUUGUUUCCCACUUUUAUCAGACCACAUAAUAAUAUGAACCUAAUCUAAUCCACACUGAACAUAAUUAAAUUCUCAUGUCAUUCUUUCCGUUUUCAUUAAAGACAUAUAUAUUUUUUUUAUACAAGUGAUAUUAUUAUUAGGUGAGGAGGGAAUUGAACCUAAGGCCAGGAGAAUUUUUAAUUAGAGAGAUAAAGGACUUUGAAUUCACACACAAAAUUGCUGAAUUUAAUGUGUGAAAGAAUGCUGAAUGAUUAAGUAUGGGUGUAUGAGUUUUUGUACCAGUGUCCUUUCCCUUAGAAUCUACUCAAGCAGGAUGGCAGAAGAAGAAACCAAAGCUGCUGUGAAGAAUUAAGUAUAGCAAGUUGGCAACCCUUUUGAGACCAAAUAGACAACAUUCCAUCUUACCAGACACCUCAGUUGUUGUCAGAAAAACUUUACCUUCACCAAUAAUGAUUAAAGUGUCAUCUCAAUCCUAUGCCACAUGACAGCAUAAAGAAGGUAGGGUCAGCCACCAGUAACAUUGACACAUGCUCUUGAUGUAAAAGUAUUUGCCUACCCCAAUUCUUUUUCUUUCUUCUUCCUCUUCAACUUUUUUUUAUUAAAGAAAACAAAAAUCACUCAAAUUUCUCACUUACAAUUUGCAAACAUCACUCAAGCAAAUGAUGGCCCUAAUGACCCUUUAGCACAUCCAAUAAAAUUAGAACGAUACAGAGAAGACUAAUAUGGUCCCGCGCUAGGAUGACAAAUAUAAAUCGAGAAAUGAUACUAAUUUUUUAAGAAAAUGAUGGCCCUAAACUUUUUAAAUUCCAAAUAGUGAGUUUAGACUUUUAGAGGCUGAAUUACUUGUCAAUACCAACUUUCAAGUGCUUUUAAAGCUUUUAGGUGCUUGACAUGCACAAAAGGGCAUUGGGUUAGUAUAAAAUUAGAACAUUAAAAUAGGUGGAAUUGGUGCAUGCAAUAAUUAUUUGGGUUGCUGCUAAAAGGGUAAUAUAUAAAUUUGGAAUUUGUUAGGUGAGCUAAUUAUGAUAUCCCAGACAAACUUUUGGGAGCAAUGCCAUUGGUUCCCUUUGGGAAACACUAUCAUCAAAUUAAGCAAGUGGCAGGUUUUAUUUUAUCUUUGGGAUUUUGUUAAUUAUAAUUAAUUUACAUGAGUUGUUGUUGGUCCAGAGGUCAAUCAAACUUAGCACUUUACAUGCAUCAUGGCUUAAUCUAUCAUUAGGCUCAUGCUAAACCAAAUUAGGAUUUCGAGAUUUUUGGAACUACCACCCCUCCUACUACUCUUUUUUCCUCUCUGUCUUCAGCUUUGCAGAUAAAAUUAGAGAUGCCAUUCGCCAUAAAAAGCCGAUAUGCAUAUGCCGUUAUGCCGAAUUGUCUGUGCAAAAGAAAGAUACUAAUUUGAAUUUACUUCACAAUACAAAUUUAUACCAUAAUCGUUUAAUUUUUAGGUCUGUAUACAAAGAUCAUCCAUCUUAAAUUUCAUGGAAAUCAAAGAUCGUUUAGCCUUAUGUCGUGAACAUUUCUUUGUUUAUUAAAAAUAGUGUGUCUAUCUAUUUAUUUAGUCACGGUUAGAUAAUUAAACUAUUUUAAUUAUAAUAUUUCCUAAUAUAGGAAAAUAUUCUAUUAUCAUGUUGUCUAAUGUCUAUCCAAAACUAUUACAAUCUUGAUUUUUAUUUGAAUGUAUAUAUCCAAACCUUUUUAAGUAUAUACGAUAACUAUUCUUCUUCUUUUUCUUUCUUUCUUUUUUUGUAUCGUGUAAGUCUUGAGGCAAUAAAAAGGAAACAUGCAUGAAAUUUUAAAGUAAUGAACGUGGACGUGGUGGCGUUUGUUGUGUUUCCUCCAGCAAGAUAAUGGCUAUUUGGCCUCGCUUGAAGAGAGAGAGAGAGAGACACAGUCAUGAGUCUUCUAUAAUCAAUUGGGUUUUGCAAAAACCACUUAUCUGCAUGAUUGUGGGAAGCAUGAUCUAUGGCUGUCAACUUUAUACGAUUAGAUUUCCAUUAUUGUAAAUUUAACAUACAUGUUAUUGUCACUCGAAAAAAUUAUCAUAUCCUUAUUCCUUAUAAAUAAAACAAAGGAGAUAAUUAUAUAUGGGAGUGCAUAUACUGACAUUUCUAGAGUGUCAAUAAUAUCGGCAUUAUAUAUACAUGAAUAAAAUAAAUACACUAGCACAAUACAAUUGAAAAAAAAAAAAAAAGCAUUCCAAUUUUAUGAUAGUUUUUUUUUAUAUAUUAUUAUAAACAAUUUUGUGAUAGUUUAGUAUUGAAUUACUAUAUCAUUUAUGAGUAUCAAUAGUUUUUCUAUUAACCAAUGAUACUAACAUAGAAAGAUACAGAUAUAUAAACAUGCGGAUAAAAAUGUAUACAUCAAAUGUCUUAAUUUUUUGUUAAGAAAACUCUCGGACAAAUGUAUACAUCAAACACCUGAGUUUUCAGGAUUCGUUUCAAAUGUUUUUGUUUUUGCCGAGGUUAUUACAUCAUUAUCAACUAACUCUUAUAUAAUAAUUUAUUUUUAAAAAAAUAUUGAAAAAUAUCUUAAAUUCGACUCUUCACUCUUCAUAAUUGGUUGAAAAAGGAAUUAGAACGUUAGAUUAGUUGUAGCUCUUCAACCUAAUACCAGGACUCUCACAAUUCAAACUAAUAGCAAGACUCUGAAUUCAACCAAAUGGGGUCACAAAUUAGAUUGAUGUAGCAACAACAUGAUAUAGGAAAAGGAUUUGGCAAUUUAAAAAGGGAAAGCAACGAGCAUUAAGUUCCAAAAUCCCCGAGGGGUAAGGUGGAGUUUGUUUGUUGGGCCACAGACAGUUGUUGCAACUUGUUUAUUUAUUGACUUUUAUCAGUUUCCUUUUGCCGCUUUCUGCCCUAAUUAGCGCGGGCCACGUUACCGUUAUGAUUAGUUCUCUUCUCCUCCAUUUAAAUUAUGAAUUCAUUCAUGUCUGACUUGCGACCUUCAAAUUACUCAUCUACCCUUUUGUGGAUAAUCACUCAUCUUAUUCUUUCAUGUGAAAACUUUAAAUACAGAAUCUAAAUUCACUAGAUAGCAGUCCUUUUGGAUUUUUAUGAUGGUUGGUUAGCUUUUUUCUUUUUCCAAAUAACCAUAAAAGCUAAGGGACACAAACGAUAUUUGGACGAAAAGGAAAUUAAACUUAGAAUUCAAAUACUUGGAUAAAUACUUUUAACCACUUAAGUUACAAACUUCUUUACGAUAAAUAUUGAACGAUAAAAGAAAAUUAAAUUAUUAGCGGUGAUGUGAUCUAUGAAUUAAGAUGGAAUUUUCUGCUUGUUUUGGUAUUGCUUAAAUUAAAAGAUUUCUUCCGUUACUUUAGCUAAAAAAAGUUAGCUCUGAUUUUGAUAUGCGAACCAAAAUAUGAACCUUUUGCUUGUUUCGGUAUUUAUUCAAGUGAGAGAUUACUUCAGUUACUUUGGAAGUGAUUUACAAACAAUGGAUUAAGUAACAAAUAUAUUUUCAUCUUGUCCAUUGUCUAAUAAUGCAAAGAGUACUUUUUUUUUUGUUUGAAAAUGGAAAGAGUAAUUUGAUGGCUCAUACUUAAAGGAAAGGAUAUGCAUUAUGCUUAUUAUUGUUGGGGGACCAGAAUGAAGUUUUGCUAUCUGGUCCACCAUUAUUUUAGUUUAUAUAUAUCUAUAUUUGAAUUAUUUGCUAAAGUUUGUGAAGUGUGGUCCAAUUAGAUUUGAAAAUGUCCUGAUUUGAGUAUGUUGACUGUCUAUUUUACCCAAAAAGAAAUUGAGAGUACAUUUGUUUAUUAAAAAACAAAAUGGCAGUGUAUUAAUAUUAUACUUAGGGUUUUGAGUCAUUCACCUAAUACAUGUGCAAAAUAGUAUUUCACCUACUACUUUAUCCUAAUAUGUCUUUCACCUCAAAUUAUAAUUAGCUCCCUAAAGAAUUGUAUAAAAAGGUUAAUCCAAAUUUCCAAAAUCCCGAAGAGCAUCUUCAACUAAUGUGUCAAAAGUGCCACAUAAACAUUUAACGGCUAGAAAUAACAUAUUACAUCACUCCAACCGAUGUGUGUCAAAGCUGAUGUAGAAUAAAGGCUGGAGGUUGAGAUGUUAUUUUUGACAUCCCAAAAACAAGAUGUCAAAUGAAUAUUUUAUUAUUUAUUAUUUUCUUUUUUUUAAUUAAAAAUAAAUCAACACUAAAAUAAAAUAAAAUAGUAAUUUAAUUUGACAUAUCAGGUGGAGUCUAAAGUUGUGUAAGAUGUCAAAUUGCCAUAUCUGCCAUCAAAUUUAAAUUUGAUGUUUGGUAUUUGACAUCUCCCUUGGAGAUGCUCUAAUAACUCCAGAAGGCUAAAAGGUUACAUAAGGAAUUUAACCUAAGAAUCCAAAUAAAUGCUUCGAUUUACAAUGAGCUUACUUAUAACAUACCGUUUUAAGAAAUGUCUAUCUCCUUAGUAACCGAUGUAUUUUUUUUUGAUGAAGUUACUCAGUUUCUCAAAAAGAGAAAAAAAAUCUAGAAAUUUCUAAUUUUACCUAAAUACCUAUUAAUUUUUUCCUUAAAACUUCUAAAUAAAUAUAAAAAAUAGAAAAAAAGGGGUCAACCAUUGUAAGGAAGUAUUUAUAAAAUAUAGAAAUUUAAAUGAAUAAAUGGUAAUAUUGACAUUUUUAAGUUUGUUGGGGGUGAUAAGCAAAUCGUGCGUGAAUAGAAAAUUGACCACUCCCAAUCCAAAGAAUUUAGGUAACGAAAAAGAACUGACCAAUCCAAAUAUAGGAUGCUAUUAUUGUAAUUUCCUGAAAAUCCCCGUCCAAAUUCAAAACCCCGUUAAUUAACAACUAUACUGUAGCGCGUCACACCUAAAAGGUUAGUAGGCCCCAUUUUUUUCAAAAGUUGAAUUUGUUUAAUGGGUGAUGCUAGGGAGACAAACUUUAGAUACCAACUUGUGUACCAACUCUCUAAGGAGUCUGGCACCAAUAGUUGGGGAAGGGUCAAGAAAAGAAAGAGAGUAAGUAUAAGUGAAUGAAGAAAACCCCACUAGGAAACAAGGAAGAUAGGAUGGGCGUAAUAAAGGGGGAGAGAAAAGUAGAAAAGAAAAAACAUAGAAGACGAGUAAGCAUGUCAGGGAGGGCUAGGGCGGGUGUGAGGACUGUGGGCGUGGGAGGGCGAGGGGGAGUGAGUGGUGAGCCGACUCGCUAUAAACACUACUCUCUACUCCCCCCUCUCUGCUGCCUAGCNNNNNNNNNNNNNNNNNNNNNNNNNNNNNNNNNNNNNNNNNNNNNNNNNNNNNNNNNNNNNNNNNNNNNNNNNNNNNNNNNNNNNNNNNNNNNNNNNNNNUUGUAUUGGUGGGCUCCACCUCUAUUAGAGAGUUGGUACACAAGUUCGGUAUCUAAAGUUGGUCUCCCUAGCAUUUUCCUUGUUUAAUAUAUAUAUUUUUUUAUCCUUAUCGGAUCCAAACGGCUCUCUGAAAACAGAAAAAAAUUUAAAUUCAAGCAAGAGAAAAAAGAAAAAAAAGAAAAGAAAACAAUGCUUUAAAGCAACAACAUGUCAACAAAUAUAUUUAUCAUAAAUUAUAUUCAUAUAUAUUUUUUAUUAUUUAUCUAUUUAUAUAUUAUUUUAUAUAUCUUCCCACGCUCCAACUCCAGGUGGUUCCAAUUUGUGCUUUUGAAAACAGAGAAAUGAAAAAACAAACUCAACGGAAACAGCCUUCUUCUGUUUCAGAAAACAUACAAGAACAGCUUUUCGUUUCCUUCUUUAUUUUCCAAUUCAUCGUCUUCCUCUCUCUCCAAGGUUUGUUUCCUCAACAAACGUAACCUCCAAUUUAUACUCCUCCUCCUCCUUCUUCUCCAUCAUAUCUCUACCAAAACCUCGUAACUCACGCUUUCAGUAUCAGAAUCCCCAAUCGUAAACCCCUCGAUUUAGCAAACCCAGUUUUGGGAGUUGGUUUUUUUUUCCUUCUCGAUUUGCUUUUCCCCGUAACAAGAAAAAGAGAGCACAUUUCAUAUCCUUAGCUCGCCGUCCGUACGAAUCCCAAUUCAGCUUUCGCUUUCGUUUGUUUUUGGGUUUUGACCUUUCAGUUUCAUGAUAGAUUUUGAAGAAUUGGACCGGGAUUUUCGGACACUUCUAUCUUAGGGUUUUUGGGUUCUUUGUCUUUUGUUUUUCGCAAUGCAAUGCUGGUUUUGAAUUGGCUCGGAGUCCCAGUCUGAGAGGUUGAAUUGAGAAUUUGAGGUGUGAAUUUCGGUGAAUUUGGGGGAGAGGGUGGGUCUGCAUAGACUGAAUCCCUAGCUUUUUGUUGUGAAAAUGAUGGUAUCGGCGUCUCCGUCGCUGAUAGCGAGGAGCUCGUUAGAGGAAAUGUUGGAUUCGCUUCGGCGAAGAGAUGAGGGCGAGAAGCCGAAGGAAUUGCCCCCGGCAUUGCCAGCUCGGCCCACUUCCAAGGCUCGGCUGCCGUCAGCGCGCCGGUCUUUGCCCAACAACUUCAAGGUCGAAGACGCAGAGGGGUCGCCAGAGUGUUUGUCUAGUCUGAACAAGAGGAAAGAGAGAGAUUCAGGGUUCAAGGCAGGUCAUUUUGGUGUCAAGAGGAUGGAUAAAGAUCAGAAUGUUGAGUCUCCGUACGAUGGAGCACCGGAGGAGUGUCAAAUUCGGCCAGAGAAGAUUGGAAAGUCGGAUUGGGAUGACAACAUUGGUUAUUUCAUCAAUAAGGUAAUUUUGGAGGGUGACAGUACAUUCACUGAUCUAGUUUUGUUUUUAUGUUUCUUUACUCUUAGAUAUUACCUUUGUGUCUUGACUGAACUUUCCAGUGUUAGAUAUGUUUCAUUACUCUUAGAUAUGUUUUGGGUCUUGAAGCUAUUUAGUUUUGUCUUAUUUGAUUGCGAUGAUUCACGAGAAUUUGAAUUUUAGUUAUGAUGAACAUCUAUACUGUGAUAUCGGAGGUCUAAGGUUCCCGACCAACUGUAUGAUCCAUUUGACGCGUUAAAUCUGCAUUCAAUUUAUUCGUCCCUAAGAAAAUAUAAUUUUUGUAUGAUAUGAUCUGUGGAAGUUUUGUAAGUUUGUUCUUUAAACUUAGGAAUUUUAUUUGCGACACGUGAAUUUAUGUUGCAUGUAUUUUGUUUCAGAAACUUCAUGUUUGGUGUCGGCUACGCAGUGGGCUGUGGGAGUUAGGAACAAUUCAGUCAACUUCAGGGGAUGAGGCAAUUGUUUCACUUUCUGAUGGAAAUGUAAGUUCAUCAGUUUUUGGCCUCACCCCAAAUCCGUAUUGACUUUUAUAAGCUUCUUGUAAAACUGUUGGCACUUUUUUAUUUUUUAUUUUACAACUGUUGUGUAUGCCCUUGUUCUGUUACUGUAGGUAAUCAAGGUGUGCAGAGUUGAGCUCUUACCUGCAAACCCAGAUGUUCUGGAAGGCGUUGAUGAUCUUAUGCAGCUUAGUUAUUUGAAUGAGCCUUCUGUUCUUUACAAUCUUCAAAGUAGAUAUUCUCAGGACGUGAUUUAUGUAAGUAUCACAUUUUCUUGUUGCUUGUGCUUUCCAGUCAGAUUUAUGUCUCUCCUUUUACAGUUCUUGUGUUUUCUUUCUGUAGAGCAAAGCAGGGCCAGUUUUGAUUGCAAUCAAUCCUUUCAAAGAUGUCCAAAUUUAUGGAGAUGAUUUUGUCACAGCUUACAGGCAGAAACUAGCAGACAAACCUCAUGUUUAUGCCAUAGCAGAUAGUGCUUAUAAUGAGAUGAUAAGAGGUGUGCAUGACAAAUUUUAUUUAUAUAUGUUCCAUUGUGUUGAAAAUUUCCUUUUCUGGUGGCAUUGUUUAACGUGUGUCUGUAACCGGUGUUUACCCUUUUCCUGGCUGUAAUAUUUUGCAGAUGAUGUAAAUCAGUCCAUAAUCAUAAGGUUAGAGUCUUUUCAGUUCUAGUUUUUCUUUUAAUAGAAGCUUGUUUGUGGUUAUGGUUUGUGUACAGUGUUAUCCUGUAUGAGAUCAUAAAGAUCAUUAUUAUAGUUCGAUUAAAAUCACAAUGUAGUCUUAAGUAAAGAGUCAUUAAAUUUUCUCUUACAGUGGGGAAAGUGGAGCUGGGAAAACUGAGACAGCAAAAAUUGCAAUGCAAUACUUGGCUGCUCUUGGUGGUGGAAGUUGUGGCAUAGAGCGUGCAAUCCUUCAGACUAGCUGUAUACUGGAGGCGUUUGGAAAUGCAAAAACAUCCAGAAAUGACAAUGCUAGCCGAUUUGUGAGUUCCUUUCUUUCUUUCGUGUUUCCAGGCAGUGGUCCUACGUUUUUCUUGUUAUUGAACUUUAUUGUUUGGAGUUAGUCAUUUAUUUUCUCAAUGGUAGCUGGUCUCUUUUCUCCCAUUUCAUAAAUGAGCUCUGAAGGAUAUGCAGUUUCGGUAACAUUAUUUCUAAUUUGCUGCAGGGGAAGUUGAUUGAAAUUCAUUUUAGCACACUGGGAAAAAUAUGUGGUGCCGAAAUCGAAACAUGUAAGCUGUUUAAAUUGAAUAAAUUGCUGUUUCCGUAUACUAUUACGUGACUAUAAAUUCAAUCAUAGUAACUGACUUGUUUUUACCAACGCAUGUACAUGUCAUCACCAAUGCGCCUUUAAUGAUUGUGAACAGUUUUUUUGGAUAAGGUAAUUAGUUGCUCCAUAUGAACUUAAGUCAUCUCAAUGUGCCUUAUCUGAAAUUAUAAUGUCUCCUUUGAGCAGUCAAGAGUCGCUCGAUUGGAAGAUGGUGAGAGGUCGUACCAUAUCUUUUAUCAACUCUGUGCUGGCGCUCCAUCAAUGCUUAAAGGUAGGGAAGUUAUUUUCUAAUCAUCAAUUCUUGUUGUGUUUUUCACCAUAUGGGUGCGUUGUGGCAAAAUAGCAGACCUCAGCCAAACCUCUGAACCUUUUUCUAAAUUCAUGUGCUUUUCAUUGAAUCCUUAGACUUCUUGUGAUUAGGAAAUUGUCACAUCAUAAGUUUGGGAGUCUAUAUUGCUGGUAAUUUUGUUGCCUUAGCAUAAGUACAUGAAGUGAGAUCAAGUGAAGAGUAGAUCUUAGGUUCAAUUCUUUUUAUAAGAAAGAAACGAAAAAAAAAAAAAAAAAAAAAAAAAAACCCCUUUCUGUGUGGUUGUUGGCAUGUAACCUAAUGUUUUGGACCCACUAGAAUCACUAAUUUUCCUCAUCAAAUAUUACAGGAAGUUAGACUACAGAAGUUAUACGUAAUUAGACAAAUUAGCUAGACCUGAACCAAUAGACGUUAUUUCAUUUUUGGGACAAGUCAGUAUGUCCCCUAGGGUGAAAGUUUUAUGUGAUUUGACAAAUUAGCUAGACCUGAACCAGUAGAGCUUACUUUUGGUAUAAGUAAAUUUGUCCCCUCGCCCUCGGGCAAUUGAGCCACGUAUUAGAGGUAUUGAGUUGACUUGUUCCAGUCUUCUUGAUUGUUUUUUAGAACUUGGUUUAUAUAGUAGUUUAGCAGUGAUCAGUGAUUGAUAAUGGCCUUCGCUUAUGUUCCAAAAGCUGCCAUGGAAACCUUUCAAAAGGGGUCAUAUACUAUACAAGUUUUAUGACAACCAUUUCCAUUUUUGUUUUCUAAUAAAUUAGAACCUUCAACAGUAUUCUGUCUAUUCUACUGUGAACUUUGUCUAUACAUGUCAGUUUGAUUCACAUUUUCUGGGAAUCAUUCUAUGUUUUUGGUUGCAGAGAAGCUAAAACUUAAAAGGGCUAGUGAGUACAAGUAUCUUAAUCAGAGUAAUUGCUUGGCAAUUGAUGGUGUAGAUGAUGCAGAGAAGUUUCGUAUGCUCAUGGUAACUAAAGUGAUAGUUGUUACUAUUACCAUUUAUUCAGUCAAAGUACCUUAUCACUUUUGCCCUUAUUUUAUUGUUUUUGCAUUUUCCCAGGAAGCACUAGACAUUGUUCGAGUUUCUAAGAAAGAUCAAGAACAUGUUUUUUCAAUGCUGGCUGCAGUAUUAUGGCUGGGAAACAUAUCAUUUCAAGCAACUGAGAAUGAAAAUCAUGUGGAAGUGUUGGCUGAUGAAGGUAAGAUAUAUGUGAUUCCCUUGGUGAUCUUUCCAUAGGUAUUUUGCACCUGAUGCUGGUUCUAAGGCAGUUGCAUUGCCAGCCUUGAAUUUUUGGUGAAAGUUGUAACAACCAAGGUUUUUUACUUUGGUAUUAAACUGGAUCACUAUAAUGACAUUUUGAGGUCUAUUACUGCAUAAUGAUAGUGUCAAAUAGUGCUAGAAUGUUGGGGACAUAAAUGUGGAAGUAAUAGGUUUGAUGUGUCAAUGGAAGUCUUAAGCCACGGGGCUUUGCGUUAAUGGUUGAUUUGAUGGUAGCUUCUUUCAGUUAAUCUAAAUGUGGUUAUCCAAACUACAGUUUACAGAUAAUGGGAUUUGGAAGCACUGCAUUUUAACUUCUUUAUUUAAACAGACCUUCAAAUUUGCGUCUUUCCCAUUGUUGUCAGAAGCUUUGUUGUUAAGAUCCAUUUGUCGUUUCUUGAAAUAACUAUCUUCUGUCUUAGUGUGUGUUUGUUCUGUGAAGUCAAACAUAUAUUAUUUUCAAACUUACACUUGAGGAUGUGAAUAGUUGUCUACAUAUAAGUAACUUCUCUUCAUAUUUUCCUUUGGCAGCUUUAACCAAUGCUGCCAUGCUGAUGGGUUGUAGUUCCCAGGAUCUGAUACUAGCUUUAUCCAUCCAUGAAAUCCAUGGUGCCAAUGCUAGUAUUGACAAAAGAUUGACAUUGCAACAGGUUUGUUAAGUUGUGCAACAAUUUAUCUCUUCAUCCUCGAGUCCUGGCUGACAUCUUUUAAAUGCACUUUUUUAACGUAAGUUGAAGGUUUUUUUUCGCCUCUCUAUUUAUUCAGGCAAUUGAUGCAAGGGAUGCAUGGGCAAAAUUUAUCUAUGCGAGUUUGUUUGACUGGCUUGUAGAACAAAUUAACAAGUCACUUGCAGUGGGAAAAUGCCGUUCUGGGAGAUCCAUCAGUAUACUUGAUAUUUACGGGUUUGAGUCAUUUCAGGUAUAGACAUUUAUUUCAUUUUUGUUGAUAUUUUUUAUAAGAUCUGUAUAUUCAGUAAUGAUCAUAAUGCCUUUUUUAUUUUUUUAUUUUUUUAUUUUUUUAUUUUUAUUUUUAUUUUUAUUUUCAGAAGAACAGCUUUGAACAAAUGUGCAUUAAUUAUGCAAAUGAGAGGCUGCAACAACAUUUCAACCGGCAUUUAUUUAAGCUUGAGCAGGAGGUGAGCAUCUCAAAUGUAAUGUAGCUUUAGGAUCGCUUGGUGUCAAAGCAGCUUAUAAAGAAUCUUCAUUAAAAUGAUAUUGUCAAAUUAGAUGUUAUGAUUAAAUGCAUGAAUAGUAAUGUGACUGUUUAUUCCUUCUAUUGCAGGAGUAUGAACUGGAUGGGAUUGAUUGGACUAAAGUGGAUUUUGAAGACAACCAAGAGUGCUUGAAUCUCUUUGAGAAGGUAUUUCAUUGAUUAAAGCCUUCUACAUCAUUGACUUGCUAAUUUUCAAUCAGGAGUUAAUUAGAUUCUUCUCCACUGUAGUACACUUCUACUUGUAAAAUUUGUGACAAUUAGAGUAUGGGUGUUCUUUACAAAUUUAGUUUACCUUAAUUUAAAUGCUUUACUAUAUCAUGGAAGAAUUUUACAUUGCAUGAUAGCUAUAAAAGUAAUUUGUCUGAGUUUGGUGCUAUUAAUCUUCUCUUCUCUCUUUAUUUGUUUCUCAUCAAAUUACCAAAGUAUUUGCCUUUAUAGUUAAUGCCACUCUUUUCUGUGUUGUGUGCAGAGACCUUUAGGGCUACUAUCUUUGUUGGACGUGGAGUCAAACUUCUCCAAGGCAAAUGAUUUGACUCUUGCUGAUAAAUUUAAGCAACACUUGAAUGCUAAUUCUUGCUUUAAAGCAGAAAGAGGCAGAGCUUUCAGUAUUCGUCAUCAUGCUGGAGAGGUUAGUUUUUGCUUGAGCAUGUUCACAAACUUUGGUUUUAUGAUGACUUAACUUUUACUAUUAGAUACAUACAAGCCAACUUAAUGAAUUAUUCUACUCAUUUUGGUAUUGUCACGUUUGGCCUUAGAGCUUUGGAAAAAAAACCGCCUGCAUUUCUCUGCUGCACCGCCUCAAGAUGUGCCUCAGGGGCACCUUGACAACGUUUUUGAAUUCAUUAGUGCAGAUAUCUCUUUUCGUCAUCCCACAGUGGGGUAGAAAUAGCAUAGCAUGCUAGCUACAGAAAAACUCAAUGUUUUCAGAGGCCUAUAUAGAUUUAUGCAAGUUUGAGGACCUUUACAUUUAUACAAAUGGUUAUGAUUUUCAUUAUGUGUUAUAAUUUCAUUAACAUUUUGAGUUUUUUUUAAGGUUCUAUAUGACACAAGUGGCUUCCUCGAAAAGAACAGAGAUCCUUUGCCCUCAGUUUCCAUCCAACUCCUAUCAUCAUGCAGUUGCCAACUUCUGCAGUUGUUUGCCUCCAAAGUGGUUAAGCAGUUCCAGAAACCUGAAAAUACUUCGUGCCAGAUAAAUUCAUUGGAUCCUCCAAAACCAAGCACUGGUAUUAAGUUCAAGGUACACAUGCUUGCACAACUUUGAGCGAGUAGCUCUUGUAUGUCUAGAUCAGAUGCCAAAAUUAUGAAUUUAAUCUGAUUAAGAUGUGACUUACGAGAUGAUUUUGGAUGAUCUUAUUUGUUCACCUUUAAUUUUCAAAUUUUCUUUGAAAUUGGUAUUCUGAGGCAUAGCCGAUUGAGUUUUUCAACAUUUAAAAAUUAUCAUGCAUUCUUGUAGGGUCAAUUAUUUAAACUAAUGCACCAUUUGGAGGGCAGCAGACCUCACUUCAUUUGCUGCAUAAAGCCAAACAGUAAGCAGCUUCCCGGUGUGUACGAAGUAGACCUUGUUUUACAACAACUUAGGUGUUGUGGAAUUUUGGAGGUUGUCAGGAUAACACGAUCUGGAUAUCCUACUAGAAUGACACAUCAAGAGUUUGCAGGAAGGUUUGUAUAAAGUGAACCCUAGUUUAUGCUUUUUAGUUGUUUUUGGUUUUCACAACUGCUGAGUUAUCUUUUCUUGUGUUUGUUCAUUUUAGGUACGGUUUUCUACUUUUGGGGGCUGGCAUACCUCAGGAUCCAUUAAGUCUAUCGAUUGCUGUUCUAAAACAAUUCAAUGUCCUUCCUGAAAUGUAUCAAAUUGGCUAUACAAAAGUGUAUCUUCGAACAGGGCAGGUAAGCUCCUGUAAUAGUUUUCAGUUUUUCUCUUCAUUUCUAUCCACUUAGCUCAUGAUAAGUUUUCUCUUGUUGACUUCUGUUUUAUGAAAGCCUGUAUUUGCCCCCUUUUUUUCCAAAGAGUUUUAUAGCAGUGACUUAAUACAUCUCUUUCUGGUUUAUUUAAGUUUAUUUCGUCUGAUGGUUUUCCUAAUGCUGUUGAGUCUGGUUGUUCACAGAUUGCUUUAUUGGAGGAUAAGAGAAAGCAAGUUCUGCAAGGAAUAAUUGGUAUUCAAAAAUACUUCCGUGGUAAUCAGGCUCGUGACCAUUUCCAUCAACUUAAGGAAGGUUAGGAUACUGAACUGGUUUUAUUACGGAAUAAACCACAACGUUACAAUCAAGUAAUGCUUACUAUUUUUCUAGUUCCAUUUGGUUAGGAUGCUUAACUGGUUUAUGAUCAUACAUUGUAGCACUGUCGAGUACAAUUGGAUAUUUCUUUUGAAAAACAAAACCCUGGUUGAAUACUAAUUUUGCACUCUCUUCAGGAACCUUGCAUUGUCUUUUAUGUUGUGAAGUCUUACACACUUGAAUUUGUGGCUUAAACUCCAUUUUUUGUCUGAUUAAUUUAUAUUGAGGAACAAUCUCUAUUUAGUACAUUUUAGUUUUAAUGGAAGUUACUUUUAAGAUGCAGAUGUUCUUGGUGAAAAAGCUGGAAGGAGAGCUGGUGCUCGUGAAACUCUUGAUGACCCGCAAAACUCGAAGAAGUUACAUCCUGAGAAUGCGAAAUUUAAACAAAAGGCUGGCAGGAAGAAUUCAGAAGUGAAGGUACUCCCGAUAAAGUAAUUACUUUCUACUUGCUAGAGUAUACUGCUCUUCUGUUUGCCUCAUGACUAAUCUCUGUUCCAUGAGCCUAUCCAAUGGAGCUCUUUAAUUCCUAUUUUCAAUGGUUUUCUUGUAUUGAGACUUGGUUUCCUUUUCUUCUUUUCUUUCUGUUUUUUUCCUUCAACCACUUUUUUUGCUUCAAAACUUCUUGCUUGGGUGUUUGAAAUUGUAGAUUUUCCUUAUUUGGAGAUCUUCAAGAGUUCCAUGGGAUAGGCUUAACAAUCCAUGAGGCUAGCCAAUGGAACUCUUCAAUCUAGUUCUAUUCUCAAUGGUUCUUUUGUUGUGCCCUUGGUUUCAUUCUCUCCUUUUUUUUUUUUUUUUUUUUUUUUCAAAGGGUUUUUUGUUUCAACCACUUACUUCACUUUGAAAUUUUUCGCUGGGGUAUUUGGAAUUGGAGGGUUCUCCUUAUGUGAAGAUCUUAACCCCUUUUAACUUGGUUGUCUAAAAAUCUAUUCAAUACUUGUACAGAACCGCAUAAGAAAUCUAACUUUAUCUGAUAUAACCAAGAGCACGUCCAUUAAAUUUUAAUAUUGAGUUUUCAAAGGCACUGGAUUAGCUUUAUGCUCGAGUUUUCAAUUUGAAAUAAAAUGUCUUUUCCAUUAAGGUUUUAACAGUAUUUUUAGACAAACUUUAUUGCCCUUGCUUAUGAAAUUUUAAGGUGGCACGCUGUAUAGAAGACUGUCACCAAGGCUCCAAAAUUUAUGUAUUGCAAAUAUCUUCUUUCUGUAAAGAAUAUUCUUUUGAGACAGAGAUAUAUUUACACUUAAAACUGAGAAAUUGCAAUAACUACUCAUGCAUCCUGGUAAAUAUUACCAUUUGAAGGUUUUAUUAUUGAAAUUACUCUGUUAUAUGUCUGAGGUUUCAUCUCAGAAUAACUGAAAGUGGAAUAUCUUUGCCGAGCAGGAUUUGCCAUCAGAUUUGGCAGAGCUUCAAAGGCGGGUGCUUCAGGCUGAAGCGACUCUGAAGCGAAAGGAAGAGGAAAAUGCUGAAUUGCAGGGGCAACUACGACAAUUUGAGACAAGAUGGUCAGAAUAUGAUGCAAAGAUGAAAUCUAUGCAGGACGUGUGGCAAAAGCAGAUGGCGUCUUUACAAGUAAGUUUGCUUGUGUAUGCUUAAUCUCAGUUUCAAAAAGUAUGCACAAAACAUUGUGUGCUUAUUGAACUAAAAGGGAAGUGAAAUGAGUCGAACAGGCAGCCAAGGUUUAUGUCUACUUAGAAGAAACAAAUUGUUGGCUUAUGUGCUUGAGUUGAGCGUGAUGGCAUCGUUGAGUCCACACCUUAGUCCUAAGCUUUUGGGAUCAUUUACUUCACCACAGCCAAUGUGCAUGCACACUCAUACACAUGCAUCUUCACAUGCAAAGAGGCACACUUGCAUAUAAUUCACCCUAUAUGUAUAUUCUGUCUCCUACGAGAAAAAUGGACGGUUCCUUUUAUUGAAUAUAAAAUUCAAAUGACGAUUAUGUGUAAAGUAAGGUUAUUGAGAAUUAGUUAUCAAGUAUGUGGUCAGCUCUCCAACAAAUCCAACAAUAAAGUAAAAUAAGAUAGGAACACCAGCAGAUAUGUGAAAGGUUAUUGAGACUGAGAGGCAUACCUGUGAUGAUUUUAUGCAGACGAGUCUUGCUGCAGCCCGAAAGAGUCUUGCUUCUGACAAUACUGCUGGUCAACCUGGAAGACUAGUUGUUCCUUCAUCACCUCGCUGUGAUUCUGAAGAAGCCUUGUCCAUGGGAUCUCGAACUCCUGGUGCAAGCACACCCAAUAAUGGAGGAGGGCGUGAGACUAACGGUACUUUGCAUGCAGUCAGCAAUCUGAUGAAGGAAUUUGAGCAGCGGAAACAGCAUUUUGAUGAUGAUGCGAAAGCUCUAGUGGAGGUAAAACCUGGGCAUUCAGGUGUAAAUAUGAAUCCUGAGGAAGAGCUACGAAAACUUAAACACCGAUUUGAGUCAUGGAAGAAAGAGUACAAGGCAAGAUUACGGGAGACAAAGACAAAGGUUCAUAAACUUUGGCAUUCAGAAGAGGAAAAAAGGCGUAGUAGGAAAUGGUGGGGAAAGAUAAGCUCAAGAGCAUCCUAGUAUUGGUGAAUCGUAGCAUCUUAGAGGAUGAUUGGAGAAAGUAAUUUUCUCAGUACAUGGCCUCUCCUUCUUCAGCAGCUGCUCCCUUGUUUAUGCAUAUGGCAUCACAUAUUGAUGAAUCCUUGGUGUGGGGCAGUUUAGGGAGAGAAAUUUGUAUAUCUACCAAAAUUUUGUGACUUGGUGGAAAUAUGGAUAAUUAUGUGAAUAGCCAGUUAGGGAAAUUGUUAUGCGUUUUCAGCCGCUAUUUCUUCUUUAAAUAGCUUAGCUAAUUUGUGUAUAAUCUGUCGGUACUGGUUUAACGCCCUACCAUGUAGAUCUUGUUACUGAAGAUAUGGAAGAGAAAAGUUCAUAUUGCCUCGUGUAUGAAGUGGUUAAUACUUUAUUUUCCCAUACACAAACACACACACACACAUAUAUAUAUAUAUAUAUAUAUUAUUUUCCUUCUACAAACAGAUUACAUAUAGAAUUGUAGAAUUAUUCUGUAAUAAGGUCCUUUUUAGCGUGGUGAGACGGCUACAGUUUAUUUUCUGUUUUUUAAAAUUUGAUUUGAUUUUUUAUUUUUUUUUUGCCAGAGUCACUUUUGGUCUGUGCAAUUUGUCAGAUUUUCCACUUUAAUCAUUUAGUUUCAGUUAUGGUGAUUUGACUCAUAUAAUUUGAUAUCCAUUGCAAUUCAUAUUUUGUGAUGAAGUAAAAGCAUGCGUCUCUAAUGCGAAGGGGUUAUUUCGGUCAGAAUGGAUGGAAAUUUACCAAUGCAGUUGCCUGGUGAAUCAUAGUUGCGUGUAAUGAGGAUUACCGUCAAAUAGAUUAGUAAACCUAAUGUAGGUGCUCAUCUUUCACAAUUAGCUUUUAUAGUUUAGCCUUCCCAAUUUGAUGUUCAGCAUGCCUCAAGUUAAAGUCAUUUGGGAAUCUAGAGAUAAGAAAAAAGGGGCAAUGCCGAUGACACCGGAGUAGGGAAGUGAUUUUUCCACAGCUCGGCCUAUAUAUCAUACUUAGUCGAAUGGGCAGUCAGAGGUUCUCAGUCGAACAUUGGAGCACUAGUUGCAUUCUUAUGUUGGAGAUAAUUACAUGAAUUUAUGAUUAAGUUUGCUCUAUGUUUCCAUAAAGCAAAUGUCACAAGAUUUCAGGUCACGUUCUCAAGCCGAUACGCAAUGUGAAUUUCUUAAAAAGUGACCAAUAUUAAAACGGCAACUAUAUAAACAUCUACAUAAAAUCCAUUCAAUUACAUUCUCCCAAACAAGAUCAAUCAAUUAGAGGACUGAAGAUAAAUUUAUGACCCAGGCACAAACUUGGUGGCAUAGACCCAUGCAUUGUUGGCCACAGGGUUGUCAAGGUGGUCCAAGAGGUUCUCAAGAGGACCCUUCCCAGUGACAAUGGCUUGGACAAAGAAGCCAAACAUGGAGAACAUGGCUAGUCUCCCAUUCUUGAUUUCCUUGACCUUGAGCUCAGCAAAUGUCACAGGGUCAUCGGCAAGGCCGAGAGGGUCGAAGUAUUGCCCUCCAGG